This 75642-nucleotide long non-coding RNA is filed under the name Theobroma cacao (cacao). RNAcentral describes it as "long non-coding RNA (TCAC_LNC004167)". The stretch from base 47679 to 47751 matches the Rfam family "tRNA". Lineage: Eukaryota; Viridiplantae; Streptophyta; Magnoliopsida; Malvales; Malvaceae. The record is from RNAcentral.
GGGAGAUGUCUUCAUGGGCCAGUACCAUACAGUCUUUGACUAUGGGAACAUGAAAGUUGGAUUUGCUGCAGCUGCAUGAUUGAAACUUUUCUUUGCUUAAACAUCACAUUUAUCACAUGUUGCCUCCAGAAAAGUAUGCGUUAACAUUAUUAUAGAAAUUGUUCACAUUGUAAGUUAAAUCAGUGAAAUUUUAUUAAAUUAUGAUGUACUUAUAAUUAUGAUUACGAUAUUAUACAAAAUUUCUCUUCAUAUAACAUGAUAUCAAAAUUAUCUUAUCUAAUUUUUAUUUUUAUUCAAAACCCUAUUUUUGUAUUAUCUAAACAGUACUUAGUUUUUAAUAAAGUCGGACUAAUUUAACCUAGUAGUGCAAGUUAUGUAAUAUUGUCUGGUUUUCUCCAAGAGUAAAUUUGAAUGGUGCAACUAUUUUGACUUUUAAUGAGAAAAUGAUUCUAAGGUUUGAGUAGGUGACAUAUUGACAUUAUAAUUUUAUUUUACUUGAAAAUGGAAUAUACUAUUAUCGAGGUGAGAUAUUUUUAUUCGUGUGAAAUAAAUAAUAUUAACAAACUCGAUAUUAGUUAUUUACGUGAAAAAAUAUCUAAUAAUUUUUUGGUCGGAUAUAAUGUGGGAAUAAAAUAAUUUACGAUGUUUAAUUUUUUUCAUUUUUCACAAAAUGCUAAAAAAAUUUUUAAAAAUUAUCUUGAAUUUGGCACAUUUAUUCUGUGUGGGGGCCCAUAUGCCCAUCAGCAAUUAAUUAAAGGUCCUCUUUGUUGUUAUCCAGUGUUACCCGAUCUAUCAUCUUAAACUACCUCCCAAACUUUCGCACCUCCACCUAAACCUCUCAUCAUCAAGUCCACGGUUCCUUUCCUUUCCCUUUCCGAUAAUCCUGAUACACUCAACCGCACCGGAUCAUCUCUAGAUUUUCUUACUUAAUAAGAAAAAGAGAAACCGAAUUUAAAAAUAGUAUCAUCAAUUAAACGGGUCCACGUGUACGGCUAUGAUUCUCCAAGAAGCCCGCUAAUUCAACACUCGCUCUCUUUAAAAUGUCCUCCUUUAUCUGCGGUCUUCGUCGUCCUUCAUUUCUUCUGCUCAGCUUUUCUUGUCGAAAUCAUCACUAAAACGUAAGGAGCUUUUUUUUUUUAAUUAUUUUUAAAAUUUUUUUAUCUGAAUUAGUUAGGUAAUUUUACUUUAAUUUUCUCUCAUCUUUUAGCUUAUUAUGCUUUUGAUUACUCCUUUCUGCUAGUUGUCGGUUUUUUUUUUGUUUAUAGUAAUUUUGUUGUGGUCUUCAGUUUUUAGUUAAGUGAAGAUUAACUGUUUGAGUUUGAUUAAGAGUGUUUUGGAACUUGGAUUUGUUUGAUUUAUAAUUGAGUUGAUUAGGCGAUUUUCGAAGUUGUGAUUAUCUUUUUUAAGUUUCUAAUAAUUGUUUUUUGUUUGGUUGAGUGAGGUGUUGUGGGAUUUUUAGUGUUUUGGGAUCCGUGAAAAGUGAAAUUUCCUGGAAAUUUGAAUUUUAAGUGAAGGUUAACUGUUUGACUAUGAUUAAAGUGCUUUGGAACUUCGAUUGAUUACUUUAGUUGAGUUGACCAUACGAUUUUUGAAGUUGUGAUUAUCUCUUUUAAGUUUCUAGUAAUUGUUUUCAGUGUUUUCUGUUUGGUUGAGUGAGAUAUUGUGGGAUUUUUAGUGUUUUGGGAUCUUUGAAAAGUAAAAUUUCCUGGAAAUUUGAAUUUUAAGUGAAGGUUAACUGUUUAACUUUGAUUAAGAGUGCUUUGGAACUUCGAUUUGAUUAAUUUAGUUGAGUUGACCAUUCGAUUUUUGAAGUUGUGAUUAUUACUUUUAAGUUCCUAGUAAUUGUUUCUAGUGUUUUCUGUUCGGUUGAGUGAGAUGUUGUGCGACUUUUAGUGUUUUGGGAUCUGAGAAAGGUGAAAUUUCCGGGAGAUUUGAAUUUUAAGUGAAGGUUAACUGUUUAACUUUGAUUAAGAGUGCUUUGCAACUUCUAUUUGUUUAAUUUAAUUGAGUUGAUUAUGCGAUUUUGGAGUUGUGAUUAUUCCUUUUAAGUUUCUAGUAAUUGUUUUUAGUGUUUUCUGUUCAUUGAUUGAGAUAUUGCUAAAUUUUUAGUGUUUUGGGAUCUAAUAAAAGUGAAAUUUCCUGGAAAUUUGAAUUGUAAGUGAAGGUUAACAAGUUGACUUUGAUUGAGAUUUCUUUUGACUUCAAUUUUGAAUUUAAUUAAGCUGACGAUGUUGUUUUGAAGUUUUAAGUAGAUUGAUGGUUUAUUUCCAUCCUUUUCUUGGCAACCAAACAUGAAAUUGUGGGAUUUUUCAGUGUGUAGCACAUCAUAGAAAAGCGAUAGUACUUACUUUCUAUUAAUUGAAGUGUAGAGUAACUAUUUAACUUUAAUUAAGAUUCCUCUUAGCUUUAAUCAAAUUAUUUGACCUUUUCUUUUGUGAGAUUUGAAGGUGUGGGUAUAUGUGUAUGCUGUUUUUCUUGGCAACCAAACAUGUGACAUGAAAAAUUCAAUCAUAUAAAGCAUGGAAUGGACACGACAUGAUGUUGUCACAGAACUUGUGCAUAUGUAUUUAGAGUUUAGACUUUGGGGAUACAACUGUACAUGGGUGCAUUCUUUGAAUAGAUGUAUUAGUCUUAGGAGAACUAUAGAUGGUUUUGAUCCCUGCGUAGGCGAAAAGUGGCUGGUGUGCUAGCUUUUAUGUGAAAGUACUAUUUCUAAUUGUGUGUUGAUAUGAUAUUUUUGUGGUUUGCCUUUUGUAGUCCUGAUCAUAUCUGAUUAAAAUCUUGGUUUUGUUGCCUAGCAUUUGCGGACUUGCAGUUAUCAGAAUGGGGAGAAUAGUCAAAACUACUACAGUCACUCUUUUUCUUUGUCUUCUUCUGUUUCCUAUCGUAUUUUCCAUAUCCAAUGAGAGAUUGGUCAGAAUUGGACUGAAAAAGAGAAAGUUCGAUCAAAACUAUCGGUUGGCUGCCCACCUUGAUUCCAAGGAGAGAGAGGCAUUUAGAGCUUCUCUUAAAAAGUAUCGUCUUCAAGGGAACUUACAAGAGUCUGAGGACAUUGAUAUUGUGGCACUAAAGAACUACAUGGAUGCUCAGUACUUUGGUGAGAUUGGUAUUGGCACACCUCCACAGAACUUCACUGUGAUUUUUGACACUGGUAGUUCUAAUUUGUGGGUCCCUUCAUCUAAGUGCUAUUUUUCGGUGAGUUUUAUUCCUUAAAUUGAUAUUGGAGUACUUAAGCAUGUACUUAGGUAAUUUGGAAUGUUUCUUAUGUGUUGCUGGUGUCCGGGUGCAGAUAGCUUGCUAUCUCCAUUCAAGAUAUAAAUCAAGCCGUUCAAGCACCUACAAGGCUAAUGGUUUGUUUCUAUUUCUUGGCUCAUUCUAGCUUUCCUGAAAUGUAUAUCUUCUUGAUUAUGAUUUGCAACACUUUAAUAUGUGUUCAACUCCAACCCUUUUUGUAUCACACAUGAUUUUCUUUCCACUUACCAACCGGUUAUUGUCUGUUGAUCAAUCUAUAAAUGCCACUGAGAACAAACACAGUAGUUGGAUUUAGGUAUUAUUGACUCUUUGCCUUUUGCAAUCUUCGAGCUGCUUUUUUUUUUUUUUAGGUUAAAUAUAAGCAUCGUUUCCUCCAUUUGGAAACUCAUGCAUGUUUGUUCUUAUCCAUAAUCAGUUCUUUUGUGCUUUAGAUUGAAGAAACUUGGAUAAAGAUGAAGGAUAUUACAAUUCAUUCUUGUUUAUUUCAGUCAAAGUGAGGAUAAUGAUGUAAAUGCCUCUAUAUUUUCUUUAAUUAGUCUACUUGCAGGUAAACCAGCCGAUAUCCAAUACGGGACUGGAGCUAUUUCUGGAUUCUUUAGUGAGGACAAUGUACAAGUUGGUGAUCUUGUAGUUAAAAAUCAGGUAUCUUCAAUAAAUUGGUUAUUAUAUAUGUUUGAGCUGUAAUUCAUCAGCACGGUUGGUGUAGAUGGGCUGUGUUUCUGAAUAAGUGGCUUUUUCUUCUUUAUUGUUUAGGAAUUUAUCGAGGCAACAAGGGAGCCCAGCAUAACAUUUUUGGUGGCCAAGUUUGAUGGGAUACUUGGACUUGGAUUUCAAGAGAUUUCGGUUGGAAAUGCUGUGCCUGUGUGGUACGGAAUAGCACCUUUUCUGUUGUUGUGUGCUGUUGUGGUUGUUGGUUUCAGUUUAUUGGCAUAAAGAUGUUUAUAGUAAGAAUGAUGCAACUGGUAUUGCACAGGAUUUUGAUUUUUUAAGUGUUCCAGGUACAAUAUGGUCAAUCAAGGUCUUGUUAAGGAACCUGUUUUCUCAUUUUGGUUUAACCGUGAUCCUGAGGAUGAUAUAGGUGGGGAAGUUGUUUUUGGUGGAAUGGAUCCAAAACAUUUCAAGGGGGAUCACACUUACGUUCCUAUAACGCGGAAAGGAUACUGGCAGGUUUGUAUUCUGAACUUUUCUUUAGUUUUAUAUAGUAUUUGACUUUGUGCAUUCAUUGUAGUAAUGCUACUAUUUCUUUGGGUGUGCAGUUUGAUAUGGGUGAUGUCCUGAUUGGUAACCAAACAACUGGUAAGAAAUUGUUCUCAAAGUUAUGUUAUGAAGAUAAUUGGCACACAUGUUUCAUGGCAUUAUACUUAACAGGAUAGGAUAAUUGAUAAGAGACAUGCAAAUGUUUUGUAGUCUUCUAUUGGUUUCCUUACUUUCUUAUACAUUUUUCAGGACUUUGUGCUGGUGGCUGCAGUGCAAUUGCUGAUUCUGGGACUUCCUUGAUAACCGGUCCUACGGUUUGUAUCAAUUUUUGUGUCUAUUUAUGCAUUCAUGCAUGCUUGUGCAGCUGUGCUUUUGUAGAAAGGUUGUUGUAAACCAUGUUAUAUUUUGUCCUUUCUGUGAUAGUUUCUCAUGGAAACAUUGGAUAGUUUCUCAUGGAAACAUUGGAUGUAUAAUUUUGCACAUGACAGAAUCUCUCCUUUAACUAACAUUCUAAGCAUAUAGUUUCACUCCUUUCCUUCAAACAAUUUUGUGGAUGUAUUUUUACUGUUAUAGUAUUAUUAAUGACUGAAGUGGCAGUAGGUGUUGCCUUCCUUAUAAGGAUGUUGCUAUUGUUUGUUAAGACCUUAAAUUUCACUCUAGAACCCCCAAGGUUGUUUUCUGUCAUAUGGCAUGCUUAUUCCAGCUUAUCUCUCUAAUGAAAUGAACAUUGGAAGAGCAAUUAUUCAUGGCCCUUGAUAUAUGCUACCUUGCAAUUUAUUAGGGUAAUCUGAUGUCUAUGAUCAUAAGUGUUUGUCAGUAGUAUUCAUUGCAUUUUCCUGUGUGUGGAUGGGCUAGUUGCUGCCAAAAACAGUUUGUUGGUCCUGGUCCUUCGUUGGUGAUUUUUUUAUAUACUAUGGUUUCAGGCUAUUAUUGCUCAAGUCAAUCAUGCUAUUGGAGCAUCAGGGGUUGUAAGUCAAGAAUGCAAGACUGUAGUUUCACAGUAUGGAGAGACAAUAAUUGAUAUGCUUUUAUCUAAGGUAUAUAAUUGGUUUUGAACAUGCUUUUAUUGCCUUGUAGCUACAUGGUAUCUGGAGAUGGUUAGAAUAAGAUUCUGGUAGUUUCUUGCUGGACUUCCUAAUUAUUGUUUUUAUUAUUAUGCAUUGACAGGACCAACCACUGAAAAUUUGCUCACAAAUAGGUUUGUGCACAUUUGAUGGAACUCGAGGUGUAAGGUUGAACACAAAUCUUUCUUUUUUCUUUUCCCCCUGUUUUUUAUCUUGAGUGAAAUUGUCACUUUAACUCAAAUCAGUUAGUUUGCUUAGAGAUGUUUGUAUAUGUGUCUGAAUGACUGUGUACUGUUGCUUUGCUGAUGUUGUAAAUGUUUUAUGUUCAGUACGGGGAUUGAAAGUGUUGUGCAUGAGAAUGCUGGGAAAGCCACUGGUGAUUUGCAUGAUGCAAUGUGUUCUACUUGUGAGAUGACAGUUAUAUGGAUGCAAAACCAGCUUAAGCAGAACCAGACACAGGAGCGUAUACUUGAGUACAUCAAUGAGGUGAGUAAGCCUACGUUCUUCGACCUUUUAGAUAUUUUGCCAAGUUUGACUAGGGGCUUACUUUUUUCCAAAUUGAUAAUUGCAGCUCUGUGAUCGGUUGCCUAGUCCAAUGGGAGAAUCAGCUGUUGAUUGUAGCAGUCUAUCUACUAUGCCUAAUGUCUCGUUCACAAUUGGUGGAAAGAUAUUUGAGCUCAGCCCCGAGCAGGUAUAAUGUAUUAUGUUGAAUUUGUGUAAAAUAUUAUGGCUUUUUCCUUUGAUGGGAUGAUGAUUAUCAUGGUUGUCAUAUCAUUUUAGCUCCAGUAAUGAAGUACCAUCAUGGUUCUAUGGGUUCGGAUAGGUCGAAAAUUUAUGAAUUUUAAGUCUGUUGAUGUGGCUGUAAUGGCAUUUUACUUUCCACUGAUUGUUUCUUUGUUCCUGACCUCUCUCCCUUUUUUGGCAAUGGGAAUCAGUAUGUCCUGAAAGUGGGUGAGGGAGAUGUAGCUCAAUGCCUCAGUGGAUUCACUGCUCUGGAUGUGCCACCUCCUCGUGGACCUCUCUGGUAAUCUCUGUCCUCGCCCCCAUAUACAUCCAAGGAUAACUAUAUUGUCUAUGCUUAACUUACAGUCAUGUUAGAUGUUAACUUUUUGGCUGGCAAAUGUUGUAGAUACUGUGUUAAUCUUACUUUUAUUCAUUGAAAUACAGGAUCUUGGGCGACGUCUUUAUGGGCCAGUUCCAUACAGUAUUUGACUAUGGCAACCUGCAAGUUGGAUUUGCCGAGGCUGCAUAAGUGAAACUUUCUGCUUUUAUAAACAACUUCAUGUUAUGCAGUGCUAGUAGUACCCUUAGAACUGUGGGGAUUAAGUAUCAAAUGAUAAUUGCAUGUAAAUAUCUAUGCAAACAUGAUCUGUGAUCUUCACUGGAUCGUUGAGUGUGAUGCACUUUGUUUAAGAAUUUCAUGUGAUCCAUACUUAUCUGUUUACUUAUAAGAACUUAAAUGUGCAACUAAUUUUAGCUUUUAUGAGAGCUAAAGAAGACUUCCAUGGCUACUUGACUAGGAAUGCUGAACUUCAUGUUUCUUCUUUGAAAGGUACGUCACUCCCCGAUAAACCUAACUAUGUUUAAUCAUUCAUGUACUUUACAAUCCAGCCAAAUGCUCAAUGUGGCAGAAUUUAAGUCAUGCAAAGUCGAUGACGUAGUUCAUUUCUUUCCAUGUAUAGAAGAAUUGAUUAAUCAUCAAAUAUUAUUGCAGUCAGGUCUUAUCUGUUACAUAUAAUACAUUUGCCAGCUAAGUGUAGUAAAGUGGGUGGCUGGCAUGGAGAUGGGAUGAAUUUAUAUGCCAGUUUGAUGUUUCACUUUAUGAAACCAUAUGAUUUCUGGACAAUUUUUAUGAGUUCUGUAGUUGGAAAGGAGAAAGAUCAGAGAUGCCGAGUGUCACAGUCUCAAAGGGGAAUCGUGAAUUUCAUAUCUGUUAUGUAUUAAAAUAGUUAAGGUAUUUAAGUGUUCACAUCAUUUUCAAUUUAAGUAAGUCAAAACGGAUAAUAUUUCACAGGUUAGUGUAGAUUGUGACACAGAACUUGCAUUCUAAGUAAUUGGAUUUGAGUUAGAAAUUGAGCUUGCAUUUCUGGCAUAAAUCAAUGAGAUUAGCUCAAAGGAUUGGGUAGAAGAGAAUCAAUGAUCAAUCAAGAACAGUGAUGGAAACAUUGAUUGGAACAAUAAUUAGCAAAAUGUUAGAUAAGGUCAGGAUGUCAGGCUGUCGUUAUUGAUUGUCAAUCCUGAGGGUCAAAACACUUCUUUUGAACUGUCAUCAUGGAAUUAAUAGCCAGCGAGUAUGAAACAGGAGCAUAACUGGAAAAGUAGGUUACAAUUAAACACAAAAAUAUAAUCCAGCUGAGCAUUGUGGAUAACAAAUUUAAGAGAGCUGUGUCAGUGGUUGUUUUUAAGUAUUGCGUUGCUACAGUUUAGGUUGUACAACUGGACAAAAUAAGGCAUUGAACCAUAUUCAUCGUACAAGCAAAUAUUUUAAUCAUUAAGCAAGGGAUUAGGAUCAAGGUUGAAAGAUGCACCCAAGGAUUUAACUUAAUGAUUAGUAUGUAUUUUGUCUUAUUCAAAGAGAUGGACUCGAAUUUUUUAUUUUGAAUAAAAAAAACAUUUUAAAAAAUGACUGAUAAAAAAGAGAAGAAAAUCUAUACUAUUUAAUUCAAUAAUUAGUAUAUAUGUAUUUUUUUUUAUUUAAAGGGCUUAAGUUAAUUCACAGGGUCAAUGGGUUUUAUUCUGUUGACCUGUAAAAUUUUUCCGUUGAUGAAAUAAUUUUUUAUCUUUCAAACAAUCAAAGUGGUAAAAACAUUUAUCAGAAAUCAUUUUCACCUUUGUUUUUUCUUAUUCAAAGGAUGUAAAUCAUUUUUCCUGAAAAAUUUUUUACCUGAUGAAACCAUUUUCACCUUUCAAACAUUCGAAAUAGUAAAAAUAUUUUGGGAAAAUGAUUUUCACCUUUACUAAAGGAACCUUUAAAAUUAAAAAAUUUUAGGAUAAAAGAUAAGAAAGAGACAAAAGGAGAAAAAGAUUGGAGGUGGGAUAGUUGGUUACUGCCAAGAUCAAAAGGGGUUGGUGGGGGGAUUAAAAUCAUGUUUCACCUGGUGGUGCACCCUAGCUGUAAAGAGUCAGUCUGAAAAGGUUUAGCCAACAGUCCAAUUUAAGAAUAUCGGCACCGACCAGCUGAAUCAGCCUUAAAACAAAGAGGCUCACCAUUGACCCCACCAACUCAAAAACACAAAAAAGAGGCUAAGGUUACAACUUUUACAAGGAAAUUGAUUUCUAUUCAGAGAUAAGAAUUACAAACAAAAGUUUCCCUUUUUCAACUGUUAGGAUAGACAUUACUUCAACCUGACUUCAAAAAAAAAAUUGAUACAUAAACAGUGUAUAGUAUUUAUAUAUUAUCAAGUAAUCAAAUCUCUAUACGUAUUAUUUUGAAAAAAAUAAAAAAUUGUUGUUAAAAUUUGAUAUCUUUUCAAGAUUUUAUAAAUUUUUUAUUCUUUUAAAUAAUAUUCUGUUAAUGAGAUGUCAAAAUCUAAUAAUUUAAAUUAUAUAUAAAAAUUAAUAGGCUGUCAAUAUAUCAAAUAUUAAUCUUAAAAAAAUAUUUUACGUUAUCUAAUUACCAUCGUCAAGCCUGACUAAUCCCAGAAAACUUUCCCAAGACUUGGAAAAAAAGCCAGUUGGUUGCCUGCCAACCUCUUUUGCCGGCUCUUUUACUUUUGCUUUGAUUCCCUCUAAUCAAUAGGCCAACUUUGCAAGUUCAUGCCCUUGGAAAGCAAGAGCAUGUUCUUAGGUAGACUAAGCUUUUUUUUUUCUUUUGUUUGCCGAUUUCACGUUGCAAAGAAUUGGGUGUGGAACACGUAUCUCCACAUCCCACAAUACUAAGAUUACUUCAAUGUACCUCAAUUACAAGAAAUUAAUGUAGCUUUUGCACAAGGUUGAGAUCUAUACGUAUAUAUUUCUCAAAUUUUACAAUCGAAAAUCUUCUGUAACGAUCUAUAGCAAGAUUUAUAAAACUUGUUCAAAUAUAUUAUUUUAUGAUAAGAUAUUCUUUUACAAUCUAAUAAACUCGAAUUGAAUUAAGAUAAUACUUUUUAAAUGUAUUUUAUCUUUCCAUAUUCGAAAUCUAUUUCUUUUCUUAACCUAGUUAAAAUUUUAAUUACUUAUAAAUAAUAUUACUUUAAAAUGAAAAAAAAAGGGAUUAAUGAAGAAGAUAAGGUUGAAUAAACAAUAAUUUUCAAAGAGUAUCUUUCACAUCAUUCAUAACUUUUUCUCAAUUCAAAUCAGUUAAACAGUUUGCUAAGUUACUUAACAAGCACAAAUGAUGUAGACAUUCAUUCAUUCAUGCAUGCAUAGCCACAUUCAAGUCUGUCCAAUUAAGCCUUAUAGUGCAGUAAAAUAAUACUGUAUCUGUCUCUAAAUGUUUAUCUUUCUUCAACUUUUUCGAAGAUUAAGAUAAUAUCGAGAGUAUCGAGUAUUGAAUUUUAUUUUAUUAGAGCUUGCAAACUAAGCAAGAUAUAAAACUCGAAUUCGCGCUUACGGUUAACUGUUAAUUAAACAACUUUGCGCCGCAAAACCUUAAUUAAGGAGUUAAUUAACCCCAAUAAUCCUGUUCAUUCAACACCGCAAUCUCGGCACGUGCUCACGUGUCGUCAUGUGAAGGGCUUUAUUACAAGCUUAAGCGACCGCCGUCCGUAGGCGGUCGGAGGAGCUGUCAAAACAAGGGGGAGGGGCACACACAUUGUGCCACGUGGUACGAACCAAGUCCAACAAAGUAAGAAAGAGAUUUUUGUCCAUUUGCGGACGAUCAUAAAUAGCUGAAGAAUCUUUCUUAAGUUGUUGCAUAUGGCUUGGAUUUAGUCACCCAACCCAAAGUUUCUAUAUAUAUAUAUAUAUAUAUAUAUAUACACACACACUAUUUNUAUAUAUAUAUAUAUAUAUAUAUAUAUACACACACACAUUUGUUUAUAUAUCAUAGAACCCAUCUUUGUUUCUUGGGUUGGUGUUCAUAUGGAGUGGAUUAGAGGACCUGCCAUAGGCCGUGGCGCCACCGCCACGGUGUCUCUAGCCACCGCGGUGCCUUCCGGGGAGGUUUUCGCGGUGAAGUCGAGCGAGUUGUGUCACUCCAUGUUGUUACAAAGAGAGAGUUACUUGUUGUCCAAACUGAGCUGUCCUCGUAUAGUUAAGUACAUAGGGUGUGGUGUUAGGAACGAAACGAGUAGUAACAAGCCUACGUACAACCUUUGCAUGGAGUAUGUCUUCGGCGGCACGCUGUUCGAGGAGAUUCAAAGGGUCGGGGGGAGAUUGGGUGAAGAGAAAGUGAGGUUGUACACCAGGCAGAUUCUACAAGGUUUGGAUUAUCUUCAUGGGAAUGGGGUGGUGCAUUGUGACAUCAAGAGCCAGAAUAUUUUGAUAGGUGAAGAAGGAGCGAAGAUUGCUGAUCUUGGCUGUGCUAAGUUGAUGGGAAAAGUUGGUGGUGAUGAUCGAUUCGACACGUCAGCAUUUUCCGGUACACCGGCUUUCAUGGCACCGGAGGUGGCACGUGGGAAGGAGCAGGGUUAUGGAGCUGAUAUAUGGGCUCUUGGAUGUACAAUUAUAGAGAUGGGCACCGGAAAUUCACCAUGGCCGGAGCUGAAUGAUCCAGUGUCAGCUCUUUACAAGAUUGGAUUUUCCGAGGAUGUACCCGAGAUUCCCAAGUGGUUUUGCGAGAAAGGUAAGGAUUUUGUUAGCAAGUGUCUGAGGAGGGAUGCCAAAGAGAGAUGGACAGCUAAAGAAUUGCUUCAACAUCCAUUUGUGGAAGAAUUGGAUACCCAUUUGAAGGAAGUAAAGGAUUCCACCAUGGAUUCUCCAAGUUCUGUGUUGGAUCAAGCUUUCUGGGAUUCACUUGAUGUGGUGGAAAGUCCUAAGAAUUUGAUUCCUGAAGGGAUUUCUUCGAGUUCUCCAGCCAACAGGAUCAAGAAACUGCUUCAAGCCACUCUGUCACCAGCUUCCAAUGCUUCCAAUUGGACUUGGAAUGAAGAUUGGAUCACAGUUAGAAGCAUCGACAUUGAAGAAACCAAGGAUUGUUCUGGUGAGAGCAAUGCCAUCUUAGGAGAUGAUUCUUCAUUUACAACUCCAUCAUUCCUGGAUCUUUUCCAAGAUGAACUUACCAUUGAAAGCUCAAUCUUAGAUCAUGGUAACUUGUUGGAUAAUUCUAUUGAAACCAUCAUUGAUUUUAGCAGGAUUAGAGUUAGAACAGACCUUAUAUUGCCAUUUGACAGUGUAACAGAUGAUUCUUUUGUAUCAGACAAUCUCAAUUUUCAGACAGUUAAUGAAAAUUCUUGUUCUAUUGAAUCUCUUUCCAAUAUCCCAUCUUUCAUAUAUGAAUCAUAUUCUUAAUUUCAAACGGUGAGGCUGAGAUGGCCGGCCGGCAGCAAGCAGGUGAUUAACUUGGCCUGCUGCUGUUUUGAAAAGUAUGACUUCUGAACAAAGUCACCAGCCACUAUUAAUUGCGUUCACACUUCUUUGUGUGAACAGAAGAGACUUUAGGCUCAUGUAGAUAGAUAAGGAACAAGUCAAGCUUGGCUUCUCGUUACCUUUGUGGGUUAAAUAAGAUUAAUAAAUUAAUCUUAGCCUAUUCCACCCUAGGCAAAUGCAUGUGGCGGUUUCAUUAGUUCUGUACUUGCAAAAUGAGGGCAAUUACCAAAAACAUUCCUGAUAAUUUUCUGCAUAAAAUGAGGAUCUAAGUACAUAAAAAAGUCCAAGGGCUUCACUGUUUUGAACCCAGAAUACAUGCAUAUGUUUGGAUGCUAAGUAUCACAGUCUCAAAGAAAAGUCGUGAAUUCUAUGUCAACUGUGUAUUAAAGUAUGAUUGAGUAUUUAAGUGUUCAUACUCAGUAAAUAAUACCUUACGGGUGGGUGUAGACCAUGACACUAAAGCUGUGAGGUUUGUCGUUGUGGAAUCCAGUAGAAAUAGAUUUUUCUUCUAUGUCUUACAGUUACAGCAAUGGAGAUUAAGUCAAAACAUUGAACCUAGUUUUUCCCCUUGAUCUUGAUUAGUUGCAUCACUCUCUUCUAGAAAGGCUGAUGCUGAAGCAUUAGGUGCUUGAGGGAGACUGGAAGGGAGGGGGGUUGACUUCAUUUUUUUAAUGUAUCAUGCAAUGACUUUUAACAGAGUCAAGCUAUCAGGAAGGUCAACUGCUCUCAGUCUUCUGUGAAGAAACUUCACAUGUGAAAGCAAAAAACAGAAGAGGCUUUUAGGUGCACAAGUGGGACAAACAGACAUUGUUUUGGUUUGCCUAAUCUUGUUUGAGUCAACUGACAGAGAAAUGAUGACUAAGCAUUACCCUUUUACAAUCUUGGUUCAACAAUGGCAGGUGUAUUUACUUACUCAGGCCAAGUAUCAGCCUUUCACAUGUUUGUUUGACAAUUACAUAAUCUUUGUCCAUGAAAUUGAAAAUUCCCCAUCUUUGAAACCACCAGCUGCAAGUUAAUCCUUCUAGACUAUUCAUGAUUUGAUUCAUUGUAGCCUUCUGGUUUGGGUCCAUCCCAUGCCAGUUUUCCAGUCUCAGGUAAAAAGUUCAUUCAAGUUCUGAAGGAAGGUCUGAUCUAGGUUAUUAGAAAUUUUGAUUCAUGAUUGAUAUCAGACAACAGGAAAAGUCUGUCUGGCCAUAUAAUGUUUGAGCAAUUUGAUGAAUCUACCAUAAUCAACACCAUGAAUUUCAUUCUUCUUAUUCUUGAAUCUUAUCAUAACAUAAGACCUUGUCUUAGGCAUGUUUACAUUUCUGUUUUAUCAAGUAAAUUAAGCAUAAAGCUUUAGUCUACGAAGACUAAUCUUUCAGUCUAACAUCACUUGUUCUGGAAGCUGUUGCCUUCUUUGAGUGUUCUUGCUUUAGAGAACCUUCUACAACCUUUGGUUCUGCUUUUUCAUCUGCCUCCAAUCUCCUCCUUGCUGGAUUGAGCUCUUUGAUAUGGUAGUGUAAUCUAUAUGUAACCAGUGCAAGGAAUAGAGCAAACCCUGUAAUAUAAUCCUUUGAUAUGAAAGUUAGAAAACUUCUUUCAAAGGGUCAUUUGAGCUUUUCUUUUUUGCUAAGAAAAUGCACCCUGCUGAUAAUUUCGAAUGAAAAUCUUCUACUCCCGUUUGAUGUCCUGUUUGAUGUCUCUAUCCUAAUUUUACACGACGUAUCUAAUAAACUUCUUAUAUUAACGUCACUCUAACCGUUCUGUUAAAAUUAGGGUUUUUAAUCAAUAAUUAAGAUUGGACACGUGAUAUAAAUUUAUGAAAGAAACGAGAUACCAAGUGGGGGCAGAGGAUUUUAAUCUGACAAUUUCAAGCAAUUCAGGCAAUGGUACAUAAUGAGCAAGGUUAAACCAUCUACUAAGAUUAAUUAUAACUUUUGCAGUGAAUGAAGAAUCAAUGCUGUAAUUUUACCUAGUCUAUGAAGCAAUCUAUACAAGCUAGUAAAGAGCCUUUUCAGACACCAAUUUUCCCAGUCUUUAAGUUCAGCUUACUUAUACCAUAUUGGAAACAUUGUCAAACCCAUGGUUUCUACAAAUGCAGCAGACAAGACAACAGAUUAAGAUUCAGUCCUGACAGCUAGCUAGCUAGCAAGCAUAUCUUAAAGCAUGAAAACUUAGCUUCUGGAAUUGGUCUACAUGGUUAAAAACUCUUACAGGAACAUUAAAUUCAAGUUCAUGAUGAUGAAUUACCCAUAAGGGAUGCUUCCAGGAUUCGAUUGGCCAAGAGAACCUCAUCAGUUGGAUUGAUCACACCUCCUUCCAGUGCCCGUUUCUGGAUCUCUAUUGCGUUGUAUGAGAUGGAGAUAAAGACAACAAACAAAGUUCCUGCAACAGUCUUUGAAAUCACAGGGCCUCUCCCUUCUUUAAUCUUGUCCAAUACCUUGAUCACCAGGUUCCUCAGAGGAGAGCUGAACAGAAGUACCAAAACCAGAGCCAUUUCAGCAGAAACAAGUAUGAACAAGAGAUGGAACAUGUUGAACUAAUGAAGCUAUUCGGGAAAAAAACAUACAACUGCAAUGGGUUAUGAGGAAAUCAUAUUCAAAUUUAUGGGGUGAAAAUGACUUGACAUGUUGAAAAUAUUUGGUAUCUGCUUCAAAACUUCAGCUGUUGGUUCAAUUAAAGAAUUAUUCUUUCCAUAACUAACAGAGAGGAUAGAAUAUAUCUUCACUAAUAGGAAAUGUGUGUAACACGUGUUAACAAGGUGAAAUCGAAUAACUUGCAGGCUUAGUUUUCAAGCAGCACAACAAGAACUUUCUCUAAUCUUUUUCUUUCUUACAAUUCCUAUGUAAAAACAUAGUGACAUUAAGCCAAAGGUCUAACAAGUUACUAAAUAGCAAAUUACUAAAUAACAAAUGAGUUGAUAAUCAUGCACCGAUCACUAAAUCAAAUAUCGAUUAUAAUAAGUUUAUUAGUCUUGUAUCAUUGAAGAAAAUCACCAACAUUAAAGUGCUAGGCUCUUCGACGAUUGGUUAUGCACUUUCUCAUGCACUUUGAGGCUUUUUUUUUUUAAAUAUGUUCCAAUAAUUUCUUUGUUCUGUCUCUACUCCUCAACAAAUUUAAAAGUUCAAAAACUUUGCCCUCUAUACGACUCCACAAGGGUGUAGGUUAGCUCAAGUUGAAGAACUAAAGCCUGAUCAUAUUGUAUUUGGGCUUUGAGAUCUAUCUAUACCCAUCUUUUCUUUCUCAUGACAUAACUUGGACUGAACUUGGGUUUGAUUGAAGAAUUUACGCCUGAUAAAUGUUCUAUAUGGGCUUGGACAUCAUAGUCCAUCUCUCCUUAUCCUUGUACUAAAGCCCAAGAAAACUUGGGCUGGUAAGAAACCAGCUGAGCUGAUUGGUUUACAAGUGUUCGACUGAAUUCGACUUGGGUUGAAGAAUUAAAAUCAAUUAAUGCCUGAUAAAGUAUCUAUAUGGGCUUGGGCAGAGUCUAUCUGACUGCCAACCCUUUCACCUUCUGGGCUUAUGGCAUUAAGAGAACUUGGGCCUACAAGAAAUCCACAGAGCUCAUUCAUGUCUGGGCUUGGACAAAGUCUAGUUCUCUCUUCUUUUAAUUAAUUACAUUUUGAACAUAUACAGUCAACGUAGAAAUUGUACAUGAAAUAAGCUGGUCGACCAGAGUUUUCAGUCUUCCAUGGCAAUGAAGAUAAAAAUGGAUUCAAAGAAGAAUCAAAAGAGCUUGCUUGCAAACUCUUCAUGUGUUGAAGAAUGAGCUGGAUGGGAUGCAUCUGCAAGGUCUCUGAGCUCUGACAAACUUCUCCCAAGCUGAAGAGCCACUUUCACUUCAAACAAUUCUCCAUUUUCCCUCUCAUCUGCUUCUGUUUCCCCCAAGGUUGAUUCUAUGGUCUCUCCCAUGAGCCUGAAGAAUCCAGCAGAGCUCCUAUACAUCUCAAACACCAUACCAAUCUGCCCACCAUGCUCCAAAUUGUUAACAACAAUUGCCAUAGCUCCGAACACUACACCCAAAAUUGCAGCAAGUGAGCCACAGAAAGAUGAUCCCAUCAAGGCAGAACCAAGUGCAGCUAUGCCAGUGAGCAAGGGGCCACAUAUAGCUAGAGUUUUAUUGAUUUUCAACACUAUUUUGCUAAGCCUGAUGUAUUCUUCAGUGUCUUUUCUCUUCAAAACCCCAACAAUUUCCUUCAUUUCUUCCUCAAGAUCCUCAUCCCACCCGUUUCUUUCUACUUUCCUGACCAGCUUUUCCUGUUGAGCCUUCUCUUCUGGCCACCACACAGCUGGCUUUACAAGUGAUGGAAACUUAUCAAGCAUGGUACCAAGCAAGGGAAGUGGAUAAGCUUUAUCCAAUGCCAGGACUUUCUCCAUUGCAUCUUUCACAUCAUCAGAAUCCGGGUUUCCAAGAGCAAUGUUUGUCUUCAUCUCCUCAUGGAGCUUCUUAAAUAAUCUCGAAGCAUUCCUUUGUUCUUCAGCCAGCUGAGAUGGCUGUAUCUUGUUCAUCACCACCAAAACCCCGGUUGCUGCCAUGUAAAGCAAACUGGAAGAUAGCUUCAGAGCCAAAAACGAUGCUCCUCCACCUCCUCCAACAGCUACAAUUCCAGCCAUUAUGGAAGCUGUGACUGUCAUCCCGUUGACAGAAUUCAACAGAAGCCAGUUCCAGUUAUCACGCUGUGCUCCAAUAUUCUUGUGCAUUUCAGCUCUAUCUGCUACAAUGUCCAUUAUAGCAUACAUCUUCCGCAACACCAUUGAAUUGAAGAUUUCUUCCUUGUUUGCAGGCUUAAUUUCUACCAGGGGAUUGGUUGCUUCAAAGGUUUUCAACCCUUUUCUUCUGUGGAACUCAUCAUUCAGGAUCUUAGAAACUGAAACAUUUGGGUUACUAAUUAGAGCACUGACCCUGGUUUUCCUAAAGGAAGCUGAGGAAGAACAGCCAGAGAAAAAUGGUGAAGAAGCCUUAAGAAUAGCCAUGAUCACUUUGGCUUUUGCAGUUAAAUGCGUGAGAAAUCUGAUGUAUUUAUGCAGAAGUAAACGUGUCUGACUUCUUCAACAUGAAUGAUUUUCUACCACAACUUUGUCUAUGAUCCCCCCUGACAAAGCUUUUUGACUUUCCAUAUUGGCUAUGGAGGUGUAGACUGGGUUGAAUAGACUUCACUCCAUUAAUUCACUAUACAUUUUCAUUGCUAAAGAAAGGUGCGAACUAGUCUGAUCUCCUUGGCAUUUUUCACUUGGAAGCUCUCUCCUCUGGCUGAACCAAACUGGAAAUUCCUAUGGUCUGCAAAACCUCAAAUAGUAUAAUAUCAUACAAAGUAGGGAAGAGGAAGUAGGUAAAUUAAAAGGACAAUAUAUUUUGUGGUGGAGGGAGGAUUUGGGAGAGAAUAUCAAGGUAUAUUUAAUGCAUUAGUUUUGAGAUUAUUGAUAAUACGUUUUUAUAAAUUUUAAAAAACAAUUGAAUUAAGCAAAUUAACAAAAUAUCAAUAAUUUUGAGAUUUUUUUACUUUUUUUUUUCUUGAAUCUUACAUGGAUUGUUUUUAAAGGUUUUGGAGUUUUUAAUAUUAUUUAUCAAUGAAGUGAUAGUUUUUAACUAAUCGAGAGUGUAAAAUAUGAAAUACAUGUUAUAUUGUCAACGUAUUAAAUAACAAAAUAUAAAAAAAAUAUGAUUUUCAGUCAAUUCAAAGUGUUAAGUUCCUCCAUUUUCUUCAUAUUUCACGAAAAAAACAACAUUUUCAUGAGAAAAAUAUUAGGAAAAAGAGUGCUUGGUAUGAUGCCUUGGGUCAAAAAUUUUGAUUUUUUUUGACCAUUUACAUGUAAAUCUCGAGUUCUUUUUCUAUGUGGCAAUAUAUAUAUACAAAAACACACGACUUUUUCCAUUUUUGCAUGUCAUGAAGAAAACAGGCAAACUAGAGACACCAAAACCUGACCAGGAUUAGUCAGUUUAGGACGGUGGGAGAAAGCAAUCACAAUGUGAAAGAUAUGGCAAAGACUAACCAUACGACUCUCCUUCAGUCAAGGACAUAUGUCAGCAGCUGCAAUAACCUAGGAUGGCCAGCACGGCCGGUGGACUGCCGUGAGGCCGGGGGCAGUGAUGGUUGGAGGAGUAAAGUGUUCACUCUAACUCCUGAAACAUUAGUGAGUAGACAUAACCCAUCUGUGGAACUUGAACUCAAACCCUAGCAGCAUAAUUAUCAAGGCCAUUACAAGCAAAAGUUACAGAAUCCCCAAAUGGAGAAUUGAGAGGAAAGAAAUAGGCAAAACCCCCCACCUGAAAACAGGAGUCUAAUGUUAAGAGGGUGCAAAGGAUUAAAUACCACCGUACAUGAGUCUCAGAAGAAACCAAAGCUUUCCAUGUCUGAUUUUUCACAUUGAAAGUGUCACUAAUGUCAAUUUAUGGAUAAUACAUUAAACCCUCCAUUGGUGUUAUGUGUGCCCUUUACACCAGAAUUUAUAAAAGUUCGGACAUAUUUGCACAACAGAAAAUAGAAAUAUGUAUUUCAAUACUCGAUAUAUUUCAGCAAUGGCCAGCCGCAAUUUCGGAACUCAUUAAAGGGUGGAAUCAACAAAUGAUACCCUACAAAACUUUAGACACUUAUUGUUGUUCAUUAAAAUAGGAGGUGUAUAUCCAAUGCUAGAUGUGCCAGAAAAACCAUGAAAUAUCACAGCAGUCGCUGGUUAAUGCCUUCAUACAUCAAGUAGCAGCCUACGAGGGUCCUCCACGACAUCCUUGAUACGACGCAAGAAGAAUACAGCCUCUCUUCCAUCAAUCAGCCUAUGGUCAUAAGUGAGGGCAAUGUACAUCAUUGGUCUUGGGACUACGUUACCUCCAACAACCAUUGGCCGAGACACUAUUGAGUGCAUACCCAAGAUAGCCGACUGCCAAAAAAUUGUUAAAUUUAUGUGAGAUUCUCUUUCUGGCCAUAAACAAAAGCUAAUGAAUGAGAAACUCAGAAAAGUAAGCAAACACCUCUAUCUAUGAUGACAAGUCAAAACUGUAUGGAACCUCCAUGCAUAUACAAGGAUGUGUAGGUGCAUAAUAGUAAAUGCAAAAGAGUUGUUCAUUCAGUUCCGUAACCACUAACCUGUGGAGGGUUGAUAAUGGGGGUACUCAAUAGACUUCCAUAAACACCACCAUUGGAGAUUGUAAACGAGCCUCCAGCCAUUUCAUCAAUUGAUAUGGUCCCAUCAUUUGCCUUCUUCGCAAGACUGUUGAUUGUCUUCUCUAUCUCAGCAAAAUUCAUCUUAUCAGCAUCACGGACAACUGGAACAACAAGCCCCUGGUAGGAAAGAUACAGGAACAAAAAGCUUAACAUAGAAACAUGAAUCACAUAGUUCCUCUCCUUUUUUCUUUUUUUUUUUACUUUUUCAUUGCAGCAAUGAGGUCCAUGCAUAUAUUUAUCAAUACUGGCACUAUACGAUCAGCAGAGUAAUUUUAAGAUUGAUAUAAUCUUCUAGAUCUCCCUUUUUCUCAUUUGUCAAGAAAUAAAACAAAGCAACUUCAGCUCAGCAAUAAUGUUUAACAAGUCUAUAAUGUUCUUUAUUUAUUAAAGGACAAAGUUUUGAACCCACUCAUUAGUCAAUUCAACUUUAAAAACUGCUCUAAGUUCAGAUAAACCCCAAAUAGAUUUACAAAUUUCUUUCAAACUGGCCAAGAAAGAAUGCUAAAAAAUAUACUGAUGAUCCAAGUUGCAUCCAGACAUUAAAUAGCUUAAUUGCAAUUUGGCAAGGUCAAAAAAUGUCAAAAAAGAACACAAUCAACAAAAAUUUUUACAAACCUUUGGAGUACCAACAGCAAUGCUGAUAUCUAUAUAAUCUCUAUAUAUAAUGUCAUCCCCAUCAAUUACAGCAUUUACAAUAGGCUGAUGCUGAAGUGCACUAACAGCAGCCUGAGACAAUAAAAUAGAAGAAAUGGUAAGGGGAAGAGAGAAAAAGCACAGUUAGUGAAGGCAAACCAUCAGUGCAUAUGUGAGCAAUUUAUAAAAAAAUCAUUGCAUACUUUAACAAAUCCUGACAUAAAUCCCAACUUGACACCAUGUUUCUCAACAAAAGCAUCCUUGUAAUCAGAGCGGAGCUUCAUCAAAUUAGUCCUACAAUGAGAAGCAUAUCAAUAAGAAAAGGAGACAAACAACAGAAUCAGCUUUAUCAUGACUAAACCAUAGCCUUCAUAAAGUAAAACUGAUCUGAUUUAACUUCACAGAAAACUUGUGCAAGAAAAGGGAAGCAAAUAGUUCAAUACAGUCAGAACCAUCUGAACCAAAACGCAAACCGAAAUAGAAAUGUUCACAAAGUUAGGUAGCACAGGCAGUCAGCAGGAUGACAAAUACCUGAUAUAAAGAACUAAAAUAUGAGGGAACAUUGAACUCACAUGUCAACCUCAUUGAAUGUUGUCAACAUUGCAAAAGUAUUCUGAGAGUCUUUCAAUCGUGUAGCAACCCGUUUCCUAAGCCUUGUCAUAGGAACCUGCAAUCAUGAAGCCAUUGAUACAGAAAUUCAGGAUUUAUUAUCUAAGAAGCUAACAUCAUUUUUUCCACAUCAGAAAUUCUAAGAAUACCAUUUGGAUGUAAACAGCAAAUGAAAAGACUUACUCGUCUUUCCCUUUCCUUGGGUGGAAGUAUAGGUUCAGUAGCAGUUCGUUUUGGAGGUGGCGGAGAAGGGGCUUUAGGCUUUUGUGCAGCAGGAGUAGCUUCAACUUUAGCUACUGCUUCAGCUGGAGGAGAUGGCUUGGAAGCAACUUUUUCUGAUUUCUUUUGAGCAGGAGCAGCAGGAGCUACACCUUCUGCGGACUUCGAAAUGAUAGCAAUCUUGGUUCCUGGUUCCACAGUAUCUCCUUCCUUGGCUACAUACUGGAAGUAAUCAUAACAUUAACAUUCAGGAUCCAGUCCACUCCCCUUUCUCACAGAAAUGAGAAGGUAGGGGUCUAGGAAUGACCAACAAGCUAAAAAUGUGUGUGCAUGCAUUUGUGACCCAAAGAUCCAGAUCUAUAGAUAUAUUACCUCUUGAAUCACACCAUCUUGGGGGCUAACAACAUCAAUUGUUACCUGAUGAAAAUAAACACUACAGGUAUUAGCAAUAUGAACAAUACUUUCCCAAUAGAAGAAAAGGUGGAGAUAGUACCUUAUCUGUUUCUAUCUGAGCAAUUGGUUCAUCAGCUGCUACUCUAUCACCAGGUUCUGCUCUCAAAGAUUCAGGUGCAUACACAAUCAAGCACUUAAAAUCAUAGAAAUACAAAUAUUUCUAGUGAUCAGAAGGAAAUUACAGUAGUGGAAAACAUACUUUUCAAGAAUGUUGCCAAAGUGCCAUCAGUGAUUGAUUCUCCCAUAAAAGGAACAACAGCAUCAACUAGAUCCCCUUCAUCACAAGUAAAUAAAUGGGGAAAGUUAAAAUUUUUUAAAUUCAACAUAAUAGCAACAUAAAAAGGAAUGAAUGGCUGUUCUCAAGCAGACACCUGUUCCUCAUCAAUAUGUACUUUUUUCAAGUAAAAAGUGCACUAAAAAUAACAAAAGGGUGCAGGUGCAAACCUAGUACCACAGGAGUUCUACCCAAGUUAUUAUCCAACAAAAGUGCAGCCAAAAUUUUCAUACUCAUGCUUUUACACUAUUCCAGAAGAAAUUCUGAACUAAACAAUUUCCUUCUUUUGACACAUUGCUUGACCUAAUACCUCUUGGGCAGCCCAACUGCCAACUUUGAAACAGGUUUGACAAUGGUUAGAUGUUAACGGUCUAUUCCAGAUAAAGUGGUUAUCAAAUGAAGAUUUAUAAUGCAUAGGAAUUAAAUUCUUACAAAGACCAAAAAAAAAACACCCAUGUAUUAAACAACCAUUUGACAGAAAGACAAGAAGAGAAAAAAAUGCUAAAAAGCCUUCGGCCAAAUAAAUUUCACUAAGGAAAUUAGCCAAUAUCAUACCAUCUCCAGAAGAGAAAGCCCUGCAUGACUUUUGCAUGAUAGCCUCUGACCGAAUGCUAGAAAUGACAUCCCUGCACAUAAGAACAGCUGUUAGGGAACAGAAGUUCUAAGGAGCACCAAACUCAUUUAAAGAAUUAAAAAAAUAAAUCAUAGAGCAUUGAAUUUCCGGUUUAGUUUCCCUACCUAAUCUUGUCUCUAUAUAAACAAAAUUGAGAUGGACUACUUUGCGUUAAAAUGGACCUGCUACUAAAGAUAGUUAUGGUAAUUACAUACAACCAUCAGAUUAAUCCAGUAGUCACCUCACACCCUCACUGUGUCAAGUAAUGACUAAUGAGUGACAGUUUAAUUCCUAAUACUGGCGUGCAUUACAAAGUUCAAAACCAACUAACCUUGUCUUCGUUAAACCAGCUGAACAGCCUGUAAUAAUCAUGAAAUGAUUUUCAUUAAUAACAAAGACAAUCAAAACAAUUAUGCCAACAUGAGAAGAGAAGAAAACCACCCAACAGAUUUACCUGGCAGAAUGAGAUGAGAGAAGUUCCGGACAAGGGCAACUCCUCUUGCUUGAAGUAAUAUUAUCUGUUCAAACACUUCAAAUUUAACUCUCAUGAGAAUAUUUUCCAAGGGAUGAUAAAACCCAAACCCAAAAUGAUUAAAAAACAAAAGCUUCCAUUUGCUUAUCACUUUUACUACUUGCUUUUCUGCUUCCAGAGAUGAAAACACAAAGAACAACCACAUUUAAAGAUUAAAAAUUCAAAUUUUACCGACAACAAAAUGCGUCAUUUUCAUAAAGCAACUUUUGGCAAAGUCUUAAGUAAAUCAAUCAUCUUCAAUAACAGUCAUGGAUUUGAUAGCAUAGAGAUCAAUCAAAAUUCAAAUUCAACAGAACUGCAAAUAUGAUUACGAAAUUCCAAAUUCAUUUUCAACUGAAUUAUUUACCUCUUUUCCAGCAUUCGAAGAAACUCUAGAUGCUGAAACACCCGACCCAAUCGCCUGCAAUGACUUCCCUAACACCUGAAAAAUCAAACAAAUUCUAAUAAAAUCCAAGCGCUAGCUAAAUAAAAUACAAUUCAAAAAAAAAUUUAAGCUCUAACCGAAGCUGAUGAGCCUCCGCUAGCAACUUUUCUCCUCAAAGCGCCCAACAUCACCGAUAUUCAAUUCUUUUUUUUUAUCAAAAUCACAAGCAAAAAAUAAAAAUCAAAUCAAUAACGAAAAUUCAAAAUUAUAAAAAAAAUCCAAAAAUCAAAUAUUUACGAGAUUUCUCCGAAUAAACACUAUCAAGCUCAAUAAAAAUUUAAAGAAAAAAAAGAAUAAAUGAGACGUGACGGAAGGAAAGAUCGACGAGGUAGACAGAGAGAGAGGUUUGACCUGAUUUCUGCAGACAAAUUUGAGUCGUAGGGUUUUUUUAAGCGAGAUGUCGCUUUUCUUCUUUGUGCUUAGAGAGAGAGAGAGAGAGAGACCGCGAAGAUGCGCGUUUAGCGGGGCUGCUGUAUCCACUACAGCAAAGCGCAUUGGCGAUCGUUAACGUGUCGUGCUUUUAUUUGGAAUAAAAGUGAAAAGUGAAGAUUCUUUUCUUGUCUUUACCGAGAAUUGGAAAAAAAAAGGAAAAUCGCAAACGGCGUCGUUUGACUAGUAAGACAAGGACUGAGCUAACACCCGAACCAAGAACUUUGGGCUUAUAAGACUUUAGUGGGCUGGUUUGGUUUAGAAUUGGGUUGGAUUGAUCAAAGUUUGGCCCAAUUUAUGGUUUGAACCAUGAAGAAUAUUAAUUCAACACAUUGAGCCAAUGAUUUGGACCCUUAAGAUUUUGUUACCUUAAUGAGAUUAAGGUACUAAUAAGCAAAUUAGGGAUCAUCAUAAUUGUCAUAUUAAUACUAUUAUGGUACUAAUAAGCAAAUUAGAGAUCAUCAUAAUUGUCAUAUUAAUACGUGUUUGACUAAAAUCGAUAAAUAUUCAAAAUGGGACCAAGAGAGUAUAUAAUAAGAAUGAUAUAAAUAUUCAACAUUAACCACCUCCGUAUUACUAUUAUAGUAUUAAUGAAAAAUGAUUUAUUAGUUUAAUGCAUAUUUUGACUAAUAUUAGCUAGAUUACAAAAGAAGAAUGUUGCAUUUUCAUUUAAUUCUCAAAAAUUAAGUUUCCCUUUUUUCCUUAAUUAUAAAUUGGCAAAAGAAGAAUUUUUGGUAUUCAUUUAAUUGUGAAAUUGAAGUUUACUCUUUUAGCAAGUACGACUACAGUGUUCACAAGAUAUAUGGCAUUGUCAUUAAAAUGACCUUAGGUGGUUGUUCUCAAUUUUUGUGAUUGAAAAUGCAUUAAUUGCUUUUUAAUUUGAUUGAGAAAUCAUGUCAUAUAUGGUACAUAUAUUCAUUAUUAAUUAUAUUUAAUAAAUAGAGAGAGAUCGGUAUUGUCGGUUGGUCUAUCGUCUAGGUGUGGAGAAUUAAAAAUAUUGUCGUACCAUGUGACUUUCACAAAGGUAAAAAACUUUAGUUUCGUUGUAUUUAUAUUUAAAUUUGAAAAAAAUUUAUAAUAUCAAUGUAAAAAUAUUAUGUAUUCUUAAAAAAUACGGAUAAAACAAGGACGAAAGAAGUACAUAUUAGAUCAGAUGGAUUAGAUCAGACGGAUUAGAGUAAGAUCGGAAGCUAAACGGGGAUGAGAGAGAGAGAGAUGCAUAAGCUAAAACUAGAGAUGCAAUUCUAGGUUACACCAUGGAUGAUGAAAGAUGGACAGCUACUUCCAUUUUCAUGUCUCUGCAGGCUGCAGCUGAGCUAAAAGGAAGAGAGUGUCACCUUCUAGGUUAGGUUCGUAACCAUUGAUCCAUUUACCUCUUUGAAAGAAAGCAGCAAAAAGAUGAAGAGAAUGUACAAAAUCUACCUGAAUUUGCUUUGAUUUGGUGCUGCUUCAAGCAGCCAUGCAUAUUAUACCUAAAUGAGUACGUAAAUCACAUGUAAGGAUCAAAGAGCCAGCAUUAAUAAUGAGUUUAUUUCUUUCUUUCAUUAACAUUUGGAACAAACAUAAACAUCACAAUAGAACAAUUGAUCAUGAUUAACAACAAUGUAGCACACGAUCACAAUAUCGUACAUUUUGAUUCUUGACUAGUACUUGACUAAUUUGAAAUUAAGUGAACUAUAUAAGAGAGAGAUUAUAUUUUUCUUCUUUUAGCAUGUCUUUCAUGGGAUUCCUCCAAGGCCACCACCUGCACCAGCUCCGCCACCAAACCCACCGCCAGCGCCAGCUCCACCGCCAAGUCCACCACCACCACCGAACCCGCCUCCACCUCCUGCUCCACCACCACCACCUAAUCCACCUCCUGCUCCAGCUCCACCUCCGAACCCUCCACCAGCACCGCCUCCAAAUCCACCACCACCACCUAGUCCACCGCCGCCUCCGAACCCUCCACCGCCACCUCCACCUAACCCACCACCAGCACCUGCACCUGCACCUGCACCCCCACCAAAUCCAGCUCCACCACCUAACCCUCCUCCACCUCCUAACCCACCUCCACCACCUCCUCCUAAGCCACCACCAAAUCUCGGACUAUGAAAGAAGUUUUUCUCAUCCUCGAACCCACUCGUGAGCUUCCUAGCAGUACUGGUGGCGCAAACAAGUGCACCAAGAAACAAAGCAAGAAGAAGCUUAGAAGAAGUCAUCUUUGCCAAGUCUUAUGAUACUAUAAAGAUGACUCUGGUGCGAAGUGGGGGAUCCAAGGAGGGCUUAUAUAGGGAAAAAUAUGAAGCCAUGAACCCUGGAGCUAGGAAGUACAGUUGAGGUCUUAAAUUUUGCUCAUCUUCUCAUCUAAAAGCCGGUGUUGGAAGAGUUAAUGCACCCAACUGUCACUUUUGAAAAAGGAAACACUAAACCAUGUCCCACGUCUGAUCAAAACGAGUGGAUCUUCACGUUGCUGUUCUAACAAUGAAAGCCAUUGUUUUUAUGAUUCAGAACCCAAACGGUACCAUUGACCAUUUUCACUCGAGUUCUUGCAAUUUGCAUGAACGUGUCUUGUUGAAACUCUCUGUGUGGGCUUUGGGGUUUACUUCUUCCCACUCCCCGUACCCAUGCAUUUCAUUGACUUUGAAAAACGUAGGCUACCAUUAAUGCCACGGCUUGCUUGUUGGGGAUGUGUUUAAUACCCAAAUACGCAAUCAAUGGAAGUUUAACCCCCCAAAAAUAAAGAAGAAAAAGAGUGAAUAAUAAGUCCAGGGAGUAAGAUAAAAUUAGAUCAUGUAAAUUGAUAAAUGGUAUUUCUGUAUUGAUAUAUAUAUUUUUUUUGUUUAAAUCGUUACGUUUCGUAAUCAUAUUGUAUGUGUAAAUUUCGGUAUAAGUUGAGAAAAGAUUUUAUGUAACGGUAUUUAUGUAUCAAUAUAUAUUUUUUAUAUUCAAAAUAAUCAUCUUAUGUAAUUAUAUUACACGCAUAAAUUUCGAUAUUCAAUGCGUAAUCGAAGAAGUAUCAACAAGUUAGAUAAAAGAUCAUGUAUAUUUUGAAAUGAUUGAAUUAGGGAAAAAUCAAUUUUUAUACACUCUCACUUAUAUAAAAAAAAAUUAUAUAAAAUGAUAUUUUCGUAUCAUUAUAAAUUUUUUUCAUUCAAUCAUUCAAAUCCUUAUACUAUGUAAUCAUAUUACAUAAAGAAGAUUUUAUGAAAUGGUAUUUUUGUAUCAUUGUACGUUCCUUAUCAUGAUAAUUACGCAAUUACAUUACACGUGUAAAUUCCGGUUUAUUUAGUUGGAAAUCUUGAAGAGAGGUUAGGUUAGAGUCGUGAUAUUAAUUAGAAUUGGGGAACUAUUUUGAAGGAAAACUCUUCUUCUUGUUAACCAUUGUUAAGAUAAGAUGGAUUUGAUGAACAAAAGAAUAUUAAUGUGAUUUGUCUACUUGUAUUGCUGGCAUUAAUUGUAUGCUGUACAGGCAACAGUACCCAAACACCAACCAGACAAAAGCAUGCUUAAAUCCCCACAUUUCAAAGGAAAUUGAAUUGGUUAGGCACCUGAGUAGCAAAAUUUGGAUAAAUGCCUUGGUCCAUUCAAGAAUCCAUGGCUUUAAUUUCCUCGGGUCUCACUCAACUAAACUUAAUUUGAUGUAUACACUUUCCGUCCCUUUUAUAUAUAUAUAUUUAGAAAAUGAAAUUUUUCGUAAUUUUUUUAUUUUUUCAUAUUAAAGGAUAUUGAACAUCUAUAUUAUUAAAAAAAUAAAAAUUUAAUAUAAAAUAAGUUAAAAUUAGAGUUUUUGUUUUAAUCUCCAUCAAAAUCAAAGAGAUACGGAAAAAAAAAAUUCUUUUUUAAGCCAAGAUAUUGAACAUCUAUUUUUCAUUUUUUUUCUCAAAAUAAAAUUCUUUUUCCUUAUAUAGACACUUAACACUCGUACCCUUUUUUAUAUUUAUAAAUUUAUUUUUCAUAAUGUUUUGUACUUUUUCAUAUUAUAAAGUAUUAAAAAUCUAUAUUAUUAAAAAAUCAAAAUUUAAUAUAAACUAUGUUAAAAUUAAAGUUUUCGUGUUAAUCUUGGUCAAAAUCAAGGAGACGAAAAAAAUCUUUUUUAGGCCAAUAUUUUGAGCAUUUGUUUUUUGUUUUUUUUAAUGUAUCAAAAUAAAAUUCUUUUUUCUUAUUUAGACACUUAAUACUCUAACCUUUUUAUAUUAUAAAUUUAUUUUUCUUUUGUUUUUUUGAAUUGGGCCAGAUUAUGACAUUGAUGAGAGUAAACCCAAGUCACAAACUGACCCAAAUCCGAGCAAGUGUCCUGUUGUAUGCCACGUGGCACGAAAUUAUCCCCCACUGUCCAUCAACAUUAUCCACGCUACCUCCAAAGAAUCCUACACACCAUAUCCUGCCUGGAAAAGUCUUGGUUUUGAACCGUGAAUGUCGGGAUGGUUUGCCUCCGUUGCCAAUCUCCAUUCCUUCCCUUCCAUUCUCAGCUCAAACCCAAACAGAAACUGAAAGCUGAAGGACAGCUUUGGCUCUUCUGCAAAGCUCCUCCAAGGCUGGUUUUACAGAGACAAACUGUUAAUGCAUUUGUGCCUUUGAGGACCAAUUCCCAUUCCAUUGCUGCCAUUCCUCCAUCCCAAUCUGGUGAUGUCACAGUCUUUCUACAAACAAGGUCUAGUUGCUCUUUAGUUUUCUUGUUGAAUUUGUCAGGAAAUUUUGAUGUACAUGUGGGCUAAUUCGGUUUUCCGGAAAUGCAGUGCAUUGCUUCUGGUUGUUUACUUGUUGGCAAAUUUCGUGGCACCAUAUUUCAUCUCCAGGUAUUUCGAAUUCGACAAGGUAGGGGAAGAUCAGAAGAGGAAUGAGAAAUGAUUAAACCUUGGAAGAUGAGGAUGAAGAAGAUAACAGGAAAUGUAGCUCAGGAAUGCAGGCAGCUUUCACUGUAGACAUGACAACAUAUUGGCAAAAACAGACCUGAAAAACUCUACCUUACGGUAGUAUAUGUUUCCUUGUAUGAACAUGUUAUAGUCAUUUUCUCCUAUUAUUUGCCCAAUGCGCAUUUAUCGCCAGACAGUCCCGAUUUACAGAACAUGAUACAGGGAGCAAUUACUGCACAAACAAAUUCAUUCAUUUUUUGAAUCGAACUUCAAAUUACUUCUGAUGGGAACCAUCAGCUCAUUUCAGAAUAAUUUACAAUUACCUGCAAAACUAUGCUGCUUGGCCCAAGGGGAAAAGAAGGGAACAGAAAAAUAGUAUGAUCAUACCAAUGUCCAAUCACUUUCAUCUAGGGAUGGAGGUUUGUCAACCAGUGAGAGACUCUCAGGCUUAGGAGGCCUCUUCAAAAAUAAAGAUGACUUGCUAUCAAAAAAGCUACCAAAUGGACGAGAAGGGUUUUCAUCUGAGUUCUUCUGGUCUUUUGGAGGAGGUUUUCUCCGCUGUUUAUCCUUGCCACCAAAGUUAAGACCAAGCCUCUUAAACCGACGUUUUAGCUCACCAGCAGGGCUUCCGUUUUCAUUUGCCGGUGUCUCUUCUUGCUUUAUUGUCUUUAUGACAUCAUCAGGAGACAAUAACAUUGUUUCCACUGUUUCAUACACCUAUUUACAGAAUUCACAUUGAACAUCAUCAGAAGUACACAAUCAGACAAUGGAAAGGAAUCACAAGAAAUAGCAAAAUCCUAUAAACAGAUACUUGCAAUCAUGAGAAGAAACCAAUGCAAAUUCUUGCAUUUGAAUAAAACAAAGUCUCUUUCCCCUCACUAGGAAUGCUGGAAACAAAGGCACUCCAUCAUCAUUUCAAUUAGCAUUCAGUGUAACCAUCUAGUGUAUCAUAAGCAUUUGACAUCGGUCCAAUAUGUUUAAAAUACUUGUUAUUUCCAUUGGUAGAUACAUCCAGGCAGCAGUGUGCAAUAGAACCCACCUGGCAAAGAUUGUCUGUUUUAUCAUUCCAGACGCCACUCUGGCAAGUUGCAACAACAUAGUCUUUGCACUCAUAAAACAGCUUUGACAAGUUAUCAUUAGCAGAGAGCUUGUCCUCAGCUAAUACAAGUCCCAAACCAAGCUGAACAUUAGAAAAAUGAGACAUCAGCAUUAUAAGAAUGACUUUGACUAAUAAUGUGUGACAUAAAAAUAAGAACAGAACAGCCAAUUAUCGAUAAUCCUGUCAAAUCAUGUUCUAGAAACAAAGUAGAAAAAAUAGCAGACUCCUCUUUCCAUUUCUUUUUCUUGGAGAGGUGGUGAGAGGAGAUUGUUGGUAUAAGUGCAACAGCUUGAAUACAUUUAACUGAACUCAAAUUGGAAAUAAGAGACAUAAACAAAGAAAUGCUCAUCUGUUAUUAGAGAAAACACUUACUAGAGAAACAAAAAGUUGUUCAAAAAGCUCAGAAGUGGGAAUGUCCUCUAAGAAAUUCAGAAUUCCUUCCCUACAGGAACCAUAAAUCAAGCUAUUCUUGUAAGAAAGCAAUGAUCCUAUGAUAGAAAAUUUAAGACUAGUAACAUCAAAUCUUAUGCAUCCAACUUACACUGCCAAAUCCUCAUCAAAGAGAGGUGUUUGUCUAAUGGCUGGUACUGGCUUGGCUGUCUCCCACAGUUCACGCCACAGAUUACCUAACAAACGUGCAUAAUUCACAUAUCAGAACCAACUAUAACAAAAGUUCCAGCAAGUGACACUACCUGCAGCUUAAGGAUGCCAAACAAAUGCAUCAAGAAGUAAAAACCCUCUGCUCAACUAGAAGAGUAUGUUGUACAUGAGAAAUGCUAUGGUUGUCAGACCUCAUUCUCCUAAUACGAAUUACACAAGGACAUUAUACAAGUUCAUUCAAACAUACUCCCUUGCGUAUUCAAUGAAUCAAUAUUAUCUCUUCAAAAGUAAAACCUUAUCAAUAAGAAACUAAAAUGUAGCAAACUUUACUAAGUAUAGGAAACUGGGUAAAACCUUCUUUUUGCAUUCUACUACUUAGUUGACCUCUUGUAACCAAAGAGUUAACCUCAUCGCUUGGCUCACUUUCAGUCCAAUCAGGAGGAGAGUGCCAUCUAACAAAAUCUUCUAAAAUACAGCCAGGAUUUGCAGCCUAAAACGAUUGUGAAAUAGAUUUAUUUAGAUUCAGCAUUGAAAGAAUAUACUGUUGCAUUCAUAUGUAUCGACAACAAUAGUAAGAUAGAGGAAUUUUCUUUGUUCAAAAAUAUCACCUUGAAAGCCUGCAUGUCUGAGAGGAGUUGAGAACACCCAGCACCAACACUGACCCAAGAAAGAUAAGGCAAUGAGUAAAAGAAUAGCAAGCAUAACAUAAUUAACUCAACAGAGUGUUGCGAUAACAGAGGAAAAACUGACAUUUCACUCAAAAACUUUUAUGUGUCUAACACAAAGACAGAAAAGAUUAAGAAAAUAAUCAGAAAAAUCCAACAUAAAUAACAGUGCUAGAUAGGUUGAUCCUGAAAGAUAACAUCAUUGUUUUGAAGCAAACAAGAUAACCUUAAUAACAUUAAGAUUUAUGAACAAAAUUCAUGAAGUAAACAGCUUAAGAUGAUGACCAUUAAAAGAAGAUACUAAGAGUUCUAUAGUGAGAAAUCCAAAUAAAAUGUUACAAAAGUAAGGAAUGUUUGGUCAAUAUACUAACCUCCCCGUUCGAAGCACCAACUCCUCCGUUUCUCUGAUAAGAUCUUCUGAAAGCAAAGGUCCUUCCUACAGACAUAUACAUAAACACACUAAGCCAUGGGAAUAGCCUCAAAAGGUACGCAAUCUGUUACCAGAAUUUGUGAGCCAAACCUGGGCAAUAGGUGAGUAUAUAGGUUCACCAGUUUCCAACAUUGUUAAAUUAUCAGCCGGUUGAUUAGCUCCCAAUCGAAGAACAAGUUCUCCAGUGCUAAGUCGCGCAUACAAUGCAGAGCUGGAAGAAACUGUGCCUAUAGAACUAUCUGACCCUUCAACAUUUGAACUAGCUUCCCUCAUUUCAGAAUCAAAUGAUUCAGUGGCAAUAGUACGGCGUCUUUUUCUUGAAAGACAACAGUUAAUAACCUGUAAUUGUUGAUAUAAAAGACAUGAAUUUAGAUCUGGAAUUUCAUCCACAGGAAUGCCUGGCAGAUGUCUCUCUUCAGACCAAAAUCUUCUCAGCUGCAUGUAAUUCCAAAUACUUUUCAUCAGAUGAAGAUUAACAUUUAACAACAAGUAUGCUUAAUGCAAACAAACUCUAAACGCAUCAAAAUGUGAAAAUGCAGGAUUUUUAUUCACAUGAAGAGAACCUGUGGCAUGAAAAAAUCCUACUACUAAUUGACACCCAAGUGCCACCAUGUUGCUAUGCUAGAUAAGGGGCUAUUAUGAUCUUAUGCAAUGAUGAUACCUUGAACUUCCUUAUAUAAGUUUUAAUAGAAGAUGGUUUUAGAGAGACAAACAGAUCCAGCGUGUAAAAUCAGUGAAGUUUUCUUUCAUCAUUGACCAUUCAUGUAAGUUCAGAUAACAGUUCUGUAUAGCCCACUUACUUCGAUAACAACCCUGCACCAAAAGAGAGCCAUUUUGCGAAGGGUUCUAAAGCUUCCAAUGACUUCAGAAAGCUUAACGAGAAAGCUCUCUGGAGGAGCACCAUGAAUGUCUUUUGGCAAAGAUAUCAUAGUUGUACAUGUAUUUGAAUCAGAGACAAGCUGCCUUCGGAGGAAGUUUCCUUCUGCAAAUAUCUUGCAGAUAUUACAACGAAAGUGAAAGACCAUCACAGGAAAAUAUGAAGGAUUAAAGAAGAAACAUAUCUACUACAAUAACACAAGUCCUGUCAAUCACAUAUAUGAAUCUACCUGCAUCAAACAGUGAAUGAAUCAAAGCCAGGACUCUCUCAUCAUCACCAAAGCCAGAUGCAAGUUUAUCCUCUUUGUCACGAAGAACUAACGACUUCACUGCAGAGAAACUCAAGCCUGUCCUUUCCCUAAUAGGUGAAGAACUUCCUGAAGAUGCCAAAAGAUCUUUCAACAACUUAAACUUCUUUCCAGCCCUGGAACCAGAAGAAAGCACAGAAAAAUAUGAACACCACAAACAAGCUGAAAAAUAAUAAAUCAAUAGAUCACACAUUUGACCAGUUAGCAUGAGCUCAAGCAAGAACACAUUUUGAAUCAGAAGAUUAAAUAUCACUAUCAUGACGAAAAAAAUCACUUGAUCAUCAUGGCAAAGUGGUGCAAAUGAACCGGAACAUAGUCCCAAUAAAGGGAACCAAUUCACAAAUCAGCAUGUUUCAUGAGGCAUCAAAUGAUUUUAAAUAUCAACAACAGCAGGGAAAGACGAAUGAAGUUAAGAAUUCAAAGCAUGUUAAUGGAAAAAACCUACUCAACAGCUAUAGCCAAUUGCUUGAUGACAGAUGUUGGAGGAAUGUUAUUCGUGUUGACAGUAUUUAAAACAUCUACGGAGGGAAUUGCUUCUAAAGCCUGUAGGAUAACAAUCUCGUUAGCUAAAUCCAUUCAUUUGAAUUUUAUAAUGACAGAAAAAUAAACAUUUUAAUAUCCAUUAUAGCAACCCUCACCCAUGGCUGAGCAAAAUAAAGAGAAAUCACAAAUGUACCUUUGCUUCCGCAUCAUUCUUCAUGUUAAGCAAGUACAUGUUUUCAUCACAGAAUGGAGCAGCCAUUGUUGAAUUUUCAACUUUCUCGGUGUCUUCGACUCCUUUUCUACCUAUUCGUAUAUUCUUAAAUCUUUCCUGCCACUCUUGCUUUGUCCCUAAAUUUGCAGGUCUCCACCUAGAAUGCUUUACCUCAUGAAUACACUGCAUCAUACCACACAAAAUUUAAAACUAAAAUAAAUAAAUAUGUAUUGAGAAAUAAAUUCUUUUAAUUCCUUUAAAUUUUCAGGGAAAAUAAAAUGCAAAUAAAACUCAACUAAAUUAGCAUAAUUAGUACUCAGCAGAAUCUCAAAGCCUUUUCUGGCUUGUUUCAUUGCUAAGAAAGCACGUGAAAACUAAAGAACAUACAAAUUGCAAAGCCUAUGAUUCCAUUCCAAGCAAACUAAGCUAAACUCUACGACCUCAAUACUUAAACAAGUCCAGCACAACGAAAUUUCAACAAAAAAAAAAAUUCUACACUUUACUUCAUUUUCUCGAGAGCCAAACAAAACAGCACAUUGUACCUUAAUUCCAAUUUCCAUUUCACAACAAAAUAGAAACAAAUAACUAAACAAACAAAAACAGCUUAAAUACUACAUUUCAGCUUAAAACAAAACCAAAUUUCAAACGAAAACUUACCUUCGACUCGCCUUCGUUCGUCAGAGAUUCGUUCUUGAAUUCCUUCGCCGGCGAUAAUUUAUCAGAAUCUUCACAAAGUGGAUAAAGAAAAAACAACAAAAAAAAAACAAACAAAUUCAGUUAUCAAUAAUAACAACAAUCCAUUAAAAGCCGGAAUUUAUAUUAAUUUUUUUUCAAAAAUCUAAAUAUAGCAAAGCCAAAAAAAAAAUUUGCGAUAAAUAUUUAACAGCCAAAAAUAUAGAAGAUUUUUUUCCAUUUUUUAACCUAGAUCGGAUUUCAAAUCAGUGAAAACUCGCUCGGCUUUGGCAGCUGCGGAGUGGAAAGCGGUUCUCGCUUUGGAGACGAAGGACGGAGCUUCCAUAUCGUGCGCAAGGGGUACGCACGUUAAGAUUCGGAGCGUAGGGUAACAGAGAGAGAGAGAGAGGACAGAUGUUAAAAUGGGAGAGACCAAAACGGUGGCAUUUUCAUUUUGCAGGGAGAGCGGGGGGAUUUGUUUGGGGUGAAGAAGAGAGAGAUGAGUGGAGAAAACAAAGGAGAAUUUAAAUUUUAUUUUUAUAUUAUAAAAUUGAAUAUUUACUUUAAUUUAAGGUAGUACAACUUUGUUUUGAUAAUUUUGAUGUAAAGUUAAAUGUAUGGUUUGGCUUUGGAUAAAGACUAAAUUUUCAAGUUUGGACUUUUUCAGAUAAUUUCAAUUUUGACUUUAUCAAAAGACUGUAAUAAGAUUUGAAAUUUUGAGUUUCGAAGAAGGUAUUAUUCAGAUUAAGGUUUGAUGACCAAGGUCGGAAAACUUCCACUUACAUUAUUUAUGAUUUUAAUUUUUUUACAUAAUAUUUUAUGUUUUUUUUUUCUUUCAAUUAGUCAUCCGUGGAUAAAUUUUGUUUUCCGAAAUGGGUUCACAAUUAAGAACAUUUUCAUAAUAAAUUUAACUAUAUAAUCCUUUCAAGAACAAAAUUUAUUUACGAGAGAAUUAAUUAAAAAAAAUACAAAGUGAUAUGAUGAAAAAAUUGAAGUUACGGGAAAGUAGUUGAAAUUUAACUUGAAUAAAUGAAGUUAAUUUAUUAACAUUCUAUUCAACCGGGCACUAGCCAUUUUAAAUGUAAAAUUACGUAAUUAUAUUUUUUAUUUAUCACCAAAUUUUAUAAAUUAUAAAAACACAAGAAUUUACUAAUAAAAUUAUCAAUGAUAAUGUAACUCUCUUUUCCGAUGAAAAUGUAAUGCCAAUGUAAUGUUGCAUUACAUUAACUUUUAUAUCACCAAAUAUUAUAAAAUGAUUUUUUUCAUUCACAUUACACUGUUAUUAUCGAAUGUAAUCUUAAUUCUUUUUUGUAGUAAUGAAUACGAUAAAAUUUUUUAAUAUAUCUCACAGAAUUAUAUAUAUAUAUAAUUAAUUAAUUAAAAAAAGCAGAAAUUGAUUGUCGUCAUUUGCAUCAAUCAUUAGCUUCAAAAGCAUAUUAUUAAUUUCUUUAAUCACCGUAACUUAGAAGCAUCACCCACUUGAUUUAAAAGAAAUAAUCCUUACAUCCGUCCCAUAAUCAUAAGAAAUUUUUUUUGGUCAACACGUUUUAGGUGUCACGUAACACCUAACACUCACGAUUUGCACGAGAAAGUGUCAACAAUCUCUCUUUUUUUUACUUCUUCCUUUUUUUUUUUCUUUCAAAUAAUAUUAAAUAAAUGAAAAAUUUCUAUUCAUAAAUGGGUUUAUAUUUAUACAUUGUAAGUAUAUAAAUAUUAUAUACUAUUAUUUAAUUAUAAAAUAUCAUAUCAGAAAUAUAUAAAAAUUAAAAAAUUAAAAAAUAAAUUAUAAAUAUUAUUUAAUAUUUAGAUUAAGGUUUGACUUGAAGUCUUUAAUGGUCCAUUUGGUGGAAAUAGAACCGAAUUUCAAUAGUCUCAAGUUUAAUGAUCUCGAAAUGACCGGCACAAGGAGCAUUGACUGGACUUGGUUAAUAAUAAACUUCUCUUUAAAAUAAUGCAUGUUUAUUUAAAUUUAAUUGUAAAAACAAAUAUUAACAUAUUUAUACAGAUUUUUUAUUUUAAUAUUAAAAAUUAAGUUAUAUCGAAUUUGAAUAGAGAUUUCAAAGAUUAAGUCAAAUUAGAAUCAUGUUUGAAAGACGAAGAAAAAUGAAAAAUUCAAAUUAAAAAUUUAUAUAUUUUGGAAUGAAAUCGAAUUAACAUCUUUAUUAUAUUGUAAUGUUGUAUAUGAUAUAUUUUAUAUUAAAUAUAAUUAACAUGUUAAGUAUAUAUUUUUAAGUACUCUAUUAGUCUCUUAUUUAAUUAUUUAUUUAAAAAAAUUGAAUAUGAUAUAUUUGAUAUUAAAUUUUAAAUUUAUUAAAAUAUAGAUAAUUAAUAUUUUUUAAUUUGAAAAAUAAAAUUAUAAUAUAGAAAAGAAUAUUAACUAUUUUAUAAAAAGUAUUCUGGAAUAUUAAUGAAAGUAAAUAAAGAAAAAGGGUCAUAAUAUCACUCAAAUUUAAAAGACAUAAUAUUUAAAGUUCCUAAAUUAUUCAAAAAAAUUCAAAUAAAUUAUUAUACUUUUAUUGUAUUAAAUCAAACUCUUAUACUUUUAUUUUAAAUUAAAUAAAUUUUUAUUUUUUUUAUUUUGAAUCAAAUAAAUUUUUAUAAUUAAUUAUUAACUUAAUAAAAAUAUUAUUUGUCAUGUUUCAUAACGUUGAUAAUUGAUGAUUAUAUGACAUGUUAACAACUUGAUAUAUUACUAUUGAUGAUAAUGUAACAUGUUAAUUUAGUAUGAUAAUGUGAUCGUGGUAGUUUUUACCUUUUACAUCAACAUUAUAUAAAUAUAAAAUAAUAAAUAAUAUUUUAAUUAAUAAUAAUUAUUUAUUUAUUAAUUAUAAAAAUUUAUUUAAUUUAAAAUAAAAAUAUAAAAGAUUGAUUGAAUAUAUUAAAAAAUAAAAAUUUUAUUUAAAAUUUUUUAAAUAAUUUAAACAUUUAUUUCAAUAUUAUGUCAAUUUAAAAUCCAGACCGCUAAUCACAAAAUCGGAGGCACAAUGGCACGGCUUAAAAAAAGAAAACUAAUAAUAAUAAAAAGAGAUAGAAAAAUAAAGCUGUCUCGCCCGCUCUCACUGUUUCUCUCUAAAAUUUAAGCGCCAAAAAAUGGACGAAGAAAUGGACGAAACCGAAGCCGUUCCUCAGGUCGUCAUGAUUUCCAAGCUUACAUUUCUUCGAUUUGUCUUUUCUCUAAAAUCUGUUUGGUUGCUGAGAAAAUCGGAGGAAAAGAAAGAAAAAAGAAAAACAAAGCGAAAGAAAAAGGAAAAAGUUUAUCUCGCUUGUUCUCUGUCGAUUCGUUUUCGAAAGAAGAAAAAAUAACGAAACGUUGAACUAUGAAAUUUUAACGUUCUCUGUUGGCUUACCUAGUAAACAAGGAAAACCGAGAGAUUUAUUUGUGUAUAUAACUUUUUAAAUUCUUGUUUUGGCUUUCCUCGUUUUGAUUUCUGUAAUUUUCUCUCCAUUUUCUUACCAUCCAAACAGAGACGAAUCAGAUUUUUUUUUCUUAACGAAUUCGUUUCUGAUUUUAAAAAUGAAGAUCAAGUAGAAGAUCGACUACAACAGCUCAAUCUUCAAGUGCUCAUUGAUGGCUUUGCUUCACUAGUAAUUACUAACAAUAUUUAUUUGAUCAGAGAUUGCGUUGGCUUUUAAGUUUGUUUUGAUCCUAAGCAAUUUUGUUUCGUAUCUAGUUUAUAUUUGAUUUAAUUAGCAGUAAAAUCUCUUAGACGUUAUAAUUUCUUGCUAAUUAAUCUGUUUGGAUGGAUCUAAAUGCAGGUUUACAUGGCAUGCAUUCAACACGGGCAUAGGUGAGCUUCAUCUUUGAUUUCUACUUAGAUUGUCAUCUUUAAUUUCAUUGGUUUGAGUUCUAUAUUGAGAAAAUUUAACAAAGAUUUAUCCCUGGAAUCUGUAUUAAUGGAUGAAUUUUCAAACUCUAUCCUGUCCAGAAUUGGAAUUUCUUACUACGAUUCCAGCAUUCGUCAACUUAACGUACUGGAAGUUUGGGAUGAUGGUAGCUCGGACUUUCCAAUGAUUGAGCUUGGUAUGAGUUUCAUGUCUUUCCUAGGAAUCUAGAAUCCAUCCCAUUAUGUUUCUUGAUAAUAUAUAAGCAACUGGAUUUUUGAAAAUGUUUCCUAGGAAUCUAGAAUCCUGUCAUUCAUUGUCUUCAUAAUCUUUUCUCCCGUUUGCUAUGGCUUCAGAUUUUUAAUGUUCCUUUAAUCAGUUCUAACUCAUAAUCUCUCUCUCUCUCUCUCUUUGUUUGUUUUGCUUAACGAUGCUUCAGUGAAAUAUCAAGCCAAGCCCGUGGUCAUAUACACAAGCACUAAAGCUGAAGAAUCCUUUCUGUCAGCUUUGCAAGGAAGUGGUAUACACUCUUUUUGUUUGGUUGACUUGUAAAUUAUCAUCUUAUUUACUCUAUAAAGUGAUGCAGAUGGAAUGACAGAGGCUCCUACAGUGAAGCUUGUUAAAAGUUCGAUAUUUACUUAUGAGCAAGCAUGGCACAGGUAUCAAAAGGACAGUAAAAUAUUAAUUGACACCUUUUGGUUCUUGUCUUCAGGAUUAAUAUAGAUAGAUAUGUAACUGGUAGGAUGACUAAAUUUCUAAAUCGAAGCAUUUAGCAAGGGUUCUUGUUUGUAUAAUUGGCAAUCUCAAGUAUGGUCAAUACGACCACCCAAUCCCAGCCCUUAAUUUACAGAGGCAAUGUAAUCCCAAGGUUCUUUUAAACAGUUUCCUUGUAGAUUCUUGGCAAUUUUAUUAGCAUUCCGUUGCGGCUUUACUGAAAAGCUUCUGCAUCUUCUUUCAUAUGAAGCACGUUUCAGGUGUCAAACUUAGGGGAGUCCAGUAAGUGGUUCAUAACUUCAUCUUAAUAUGUCAUAUAUCCAAUAUUUGGAAGAAGCCACCACUACCAACUACUGGUACAAAUUUACCAUGCUUAACUUCUGCUGCUGAUAUGGAUUGAUUAAAAGAAAUUGUAUUCAAUCAGCACAUUAAUUCUUAUUAUGAACUUGUUCACAUUGUCAUAGGAUUUAGUACCUCUACUUACUCAUUUUGUAGAGUAGACUGAACUCACCUUAGUUUGCUGUCCUGAAAUAUCUUUCUUAAAUUCCAUACCUAGACCCAUGUUCUUCAACCCCAGCUUUAGUCAUCAAAAUUCCCUCUCACCGUUUCUUUUCUGAUUUCUCAUUUGGCUUUUAUAGGUUGAUAUACCUUCGAGUAACGGGAAUGGAUGAUGGGUUAAACAUCAAGGAGAGAAUUUGCUAUGUGAGUCGUGAAAUAUGAAUUUCUUUUUGCAUAUGAUCAAUUUAUACUUCUGUCAUCUUUGAUGAAAAAUUCAUUUGCAAUAAGAUUACAUAAUUUCAGCUUGAAGUCAUGGUUCAGUCAGAUUUUUUAUGUUAUUUGUAAUUUCCUUUAUAACAUGAUUAUGAUACAGUUUCAAGUUUGGUUUGGAUCUUUUUGAAUAAUUAAUAUUUCAAAUUAUUAAAUAAUACAUUAAUAUGUAAAAACUUUUGAUAUAAACAUUUUGAGGAAAAAAACAAAAGAAACGUGCUUUUAACGGUUCUGCAGUUUGACAGUUUAGCUUCUCUGUUUCAGUCUUUGAGAUAGUGAGUUGCGUUUUUAACAGCUUCCUGACAUUAAGAAACAAAAAACGAAAAGGUGUUAUACUGUCUAAAGUAUAAACUCUGCUUUCAUGUUUGAUCCCUUUCUUUUGAGGUUGUCAGGACCCUUCUUUUCUAAUUGCAAAAGACACAUCCUAUCGACCAUAUCGAUAGAAUUCUGCUGUCAUUUACGUAUUCUUUUUCUUUUUCAACUAUUGCAGCUGAGUUCUAUGAUGGACAUGGGUAGUGAUGUCCAAGUUCGCGUAAGUGGGGGCCUGCUUGCCAUAUUAGAGAAUGAAAGGAUUGUAGAUACCCUCGAGCAAAAGGAAUGUGGGAAUGCUUCAAUUACAAUUGAUUCCGUCAUUGAAAUUUCAUUGUAUCAUUUUAUGUGACAAUGCUUAGAGGAUCCGUUCUUUAUCAUUCUUCUUCUUCUUCUUCUGCUUUUCUAAUUUUUCAACUAAAAAAUUUUACCUUUAGCCAAAAGAACAAUAAAUUCACAAAACAAGACUCAAUAUGUAUUAAUUACCUUGACAAUUGAAAAAUAGGGACAAGUUUCUUAAGCUUGAUGCUGCAGCACACGAGGCAUUGCAGAUAUUUCAAGUAGAUAAACAUCCAAGUCAUAUGGGAAUUGGUAGAGCAAAGGAAGGGUAACUGCUGCUAUUAUACUGCAAAUUAGACUUCUUGCUAGGUAUACUUUUCUAUGUUUUAACUUGAACACAUCUCUAAUGAUUUCUUGAUUUGUAGGUUCUCUGUGUUUGGAAUGAUGAACAAGGUUUGUAAAGUAACAUGAUUUUCAUCUUGUACUAUCUUUUCUCACUUUGGACUGAUUCAUUUUCUCGUUAAACUUAAGUGUGUGACGCCAAUGGGGAGACGUCUUUUGAGGUACAUCAAACUUGAAAAAUCUGUUAUCUAGCUGCUUCUAAUUUUACAUCUAACCUAAACACUUGGACAAUGGUUUUCCUUGCUUUAGAAACUGGUUCCUCAGGCCCAUACUUGACCUGGAAAACUUGAACAAUCGUCUCAAUGCUGUAUCCUUCUAUUCUUUAAUCAUAUGGGGAAUGUACUCACUUUACCUGAACCAAAAUUCAGUUUGGUGGCAUGUCAAAUAAAGAAGACAAUAAAGAAUACCACAACCUGCACUGUUGUGAGGUGGAGUCUGGUCAUAGAAUUGGUUUUCAGCUAUGUUCUUAAUCUACUAUUAUCAUCACUUAUAGCCUUUAACAGGAUUAAGAUAUCAUUCUUUCUUUCUUCUGAAGAAUUGAUGGUUUCCCUACGCGAAACUCUGAAGUCUGUGAAGGAUAUCCCUCACAUACUAAAGGUAUGAUCAUUGCAGUUAAUUGUUCACCUUUCUACCCUUCCUGCCUGCAUAAAGUCAGAAUUUCCAGGUUUAUGGUUUAUUUACAGUUACUGCAUGUAGCAACUAACAUAUGAUGCAUUAAGUUCAAUUUGUACCAUCAGAAGUCUUUCUUAUUUUUUUCUUUGCUAAAAGGAUAUAUUUCUUCGAUGCUAAGUUGACCAAUUUAUUACUAUAAUGGGAUUCAUUUCUUUUCUUGUGGAAGAAAUUCAACUCACCAAACUCCAUGUGUACAAGUAGUGACUGGAUGGCUUUUCUGAAGGUAUUGCUUGCUAGAAUUUUCCAAGUUUUCAUUCCAUCCUCUCUCCAGGUCAGUUGAUAUAUGUGAAAUUGAACAUCUGGCAUUGGUAAGAUGAUCUUCUAGAUAUAACAUCAAUGAUUGAGUUUUUGUUUCUUUGAGCUUCACAUAUAACCUAUGCUGUGAGUAUAGAUAAAUAACAAUAUGAAGUAACAUAGAGCAAAUACUUCUCAUUUCAGCAAUCAUUUCAGUUAUGGUUUAAUUUUGUGCUAAAUAAAUUCGUCGCAUAAAAUGCAAUGAGUUUUUGAGAGUGAUGUAACACAGUUUAAUUUUCCUAUAAAUCUUUGUUCUCUUGCAGAGUGUCUGUUCACUCUUGCAUGUUAACAAGAUAUUUGAAGUAGGCAUUUCUGAAAACCUUCGGGAGCAUAUGGAGUACUUGAAUUUGGACAUUGUUGCUAAGGUAUCAAAAUUAGUCUUGGCACAUUUCCUCUUUUCACGAGGUUGGACGUGAAAUAUUUAUCUUUUGUGUUACCUGAUCUUUUCUGCAGGCUAGUUCAUGCAUCACAGCAGAUCUGGCAUUUGUCUAUGAAUUGGUUAGUCCCUAUCACUUCGUAACAUUUCAUUUGACCCAGUGAUGCUCAUUGUUUCCACAGACAUGUUAAAAUUAAAUCCCUUGUGAAAGUUAUGUCAUUCGGAGUUCUGGAAAUCACGUAAGGUUCCAAGAGUAGUACUUCCUAAUUUAGCUGUUCUACAUCCACGUCUAGACUUCCAUUUAACAAAAGUCAUAAUGUAGCCUUCUGAAGAAAUUUACGUAAUCCCUCCUCAUCUGUGUGAUUCCCAUUCAAAACCUGAAACGAGUGGCUAAUUUAAUGAAAGAGUAAAUAACAUUAAAAAAAAAAAACAGAGUGAAUGUUUCAGCCUAGAAGAAUGACAGAUUCCUAUCUUCUAGCACAUGCAAAAUGUGGGAAAUGGCUCUGUGCAAUUUACAAAAAAAUAAAUAAAUUCUGAAUUGAUGGAGAUACAUGUUCUAACUAGAGAUUAAUACAAGAAGGUGCUUAAAAAUUGACAAUAUAAUAAUAAAGUAGGGGACUGAAUAUGCUACUUUCUUUUUCUCCUAGUUUCUAUUAUUUUACUUCAUGCAGCUGUAGUUUUAUAUUUUAUUUUAGUGACCUUUAAAUAAGUGGAGUUAUGGUGAUUAGAAGAAUGUUGUUUUUCCUGCUGUUAACCUUGUCAAUAUCUUCUUUAAAUUGACACAUUCAGUGUAUUUAUAGGUCAUUGGUGUUAUUGAUGUAAAUAGAAGUAAAGAGAAGGGCUAUGGGACAAUAGUGAAAGAGGGUUUCUGCGAUGAGGUGAGACAUUUGUUCUGAUUUUUCUGUGAGGAGGAUAGCAUGUUUCCUGCGGCGUAUUUUUUUCCUUCAUACUGUAAACUUCCCAGUCGUUACUGUUAUGUCGAUUUGUGCACAGUUGGAUGAGCUGAGACAUAUAUACGAGGAAUUGCCAGAAUUCCUAGAAGAGGUGGUUGGAGUACAAACCAACUAUAUGAUAAAUUUAUAGCAUGAAUUGAGGUUUUCUGCAGCUAUGUUUACAUUAAUUAGCAUACUCACAGGUGGCAUCAUUGGAGCUCGCACAACUUCCUCAUUUGCGCAAAGAGGAGUUUGCUCCUCGUAUCGUUUAUAUACAUCAAAUAGGUGGGUCUGUGCCAUUUCAGCAUAUUAUAUGUCAACCUAUUUCCUAUGUUAUUAAACAUAUUUUUCUCCACUGAUAUUAUCUUACAAGUACCUCUUAAUUUUUAAUUAUCAUGUCAUGAUCUUAUGCAUUAGAGCUUAGAGGACACUUUGCCUGAUUAUGCUCUUUCCUUCGUUUCUGUUGUAGGAUACUUAAUGUGUUUUUUUGAAGAGAAAAUUGAUGAAAUCACACAAGAGAAACUUCAGGAUUUUGAAUUUGCAGUAAGUUGAUACAUGCAUCAUGUUUAAAUGAAUAGCAUGCUAAAUUCUUAACUGUUUAAACAUUAAGAUUUCCAAGGCAAAGUAAGUUGAUAUUUGCAUAAGAUAUAAACAAAUGCGAAUGUUAUGGAAAUUCAGUUCUCUGAUUCUGGAGGGAUAACAAAGAGAUUUUUUUAUCGUACACCAAAGACACGAGAGUUGGAUGACCUUCUUGGAGAUAUUUAUCAUAAAAUUCUAGGUAAGUUUCCACCCCACGGUGCUGUUUGAAAGUGAAAUUAGACAAUCCAUGUCAGUUAAAUGGGGAACAUAAGGUUUAGUGAAUUUCUUCGUAAAGUUUCUUAUUUCUUAAAUUCAUUAUUGAAGAUAUGGAGAGGGCAAUUAUCAGAGACUUGGUCUCACAUGUAUCAACGUUCUCAACACAUCUGCUUAAGGCUGUGAACUUUGUGGCUGAACUUGAUUGGUAAGAAUCACCAACAAUGCUCUUAUCCCUAUUUGUCUUUCCUCUGUAAUGUAAAGAUGUAUGAUUGUGAGGUUCUAUGUUACUGACUACAGUGUCUUCAUAUUGAUAUUAGCUUUUUGUCGUUGGCAAUGGUUGCUCGCCAGAACAAUUAUGUGAGGCCUACUUUAACCAUGGAAACCUUUCUUGACAUACAAAAUGGAAGGUAGGAACCAUCUACUUAUGCACAGUUUCACACCAUUUUCAUCUUAAAAGGACCUCUCAAAAAGUUUUGUUUUUCUAUGGGUAGACUUCUUUCUUUUUUUUUUUUUUGUUGGCAAAGAAUUUAAUGACCUCAUACUGGUCACAGGCAUGUUUUGCAGGAAAUGACCGUAGACACAUUUAUCCCCAACGAUACAAAGAUUCUUGAUGAAGGUAAAUUGAACUAAAAGUUCAAUUGUAGCAUGCCAAAUCCCAGGAUAACUUAUCUCAUCUAAAGUAGACCAUUCCAAUAUUUCAUUAUUAAGUUGUUUUUUGUCAAAAUCUUAAGAUUCCGUUAUUUUCAGGAAGGAUUCAUAUCAUUACUGGUCCUAAUUAUUCAGGGAAAAGCAUCUACAUAAAGCAGGUAGAUGAAGCAUCUUUGCAUAAAUUGCGUAUUGGUGUGCUCACAUUUGCUGAGUUUUGAUGGAUUUAUUAAAUAAAUUAUGUUGUUUUUUCUGUUUCCUUUUUUUACAGCGCGUGUUUAUGAGAUCCCUUUUCAUCUGCAAUAUGGUUACGUUAUAAAAUGUUCCAAUUUUUUUUUUUGUAAUCAGCACUAUUAUUUUGUGCUAGAGAUAACAGCAAGCAUGUGCCAGGCACCAUUUAGGCCAUGGAUAACUGUUGAAUUCUUAGUACAGUUUCCCAAGCCUUCAUAUAAAUAAUUUCUCCUGUAAAUUGCACUUGAUCACAAAUUUUUGGUUUUCCUAGGUGGCUUUAAUUGUUUUCCUUUCUCAUAUCGGAAGUUUUGUACCUGCUGAUGCUGCAACAGUAGGAUUGACUGAUAGGUAUGUGGCGUGCUAGUGGCUAACUUUGUUCUUAAAAUUGCACAAUAUCUACGUUGAUAUCCAGUUGGUCACAUCAAACGUGUUUCCAACUAUGACAGGAUAUUCUGUGGAAUGGGAAGCAAGCUUAUGACUGCAGAACAGUCGACAUUUAUGAUUGAUCUACAUCAAGUGGGAAUGAUGCUAAGGUAUACAGGAUGAGAAUGGGUUAUGAUAGCCCCAUAAUCUUGUUAAUCUCUAGGUUAAUGAUGUGGCAUCUUGUGAUCAUUCUUCUUGAAAGUUGAUGUGAAUAAUUAACUUUGUUUGGGUAAUUGAUAAGCAAGUAACUUUCCUCAUUUUAAUCCAUUCUGUUGAUAUGUUUCACAGGCAGGCAACUUCGCGAUCUUUAUGUUUGCUGGACGAAUUUGGUAAAGGCACCCUUACGGAAGGUAGGCGUCUUCUACGGAACUUUACUCCUCAGAUAUGCAAUGUCUGAUGUUUAUUGCAGAUAUGUCCAUUGAAUUAUUGCUACCAUUUUGAAUUCAGAUGGCAUUGGUCUUCUUGGUGGGACCAUAAAUCACUUUGUCACCUCAUAUGUUCCGCCAAAGGUUUGCUGGUCUUCUCUCAUUUUUUUCCCCCAAAAAUUACAAGCUAUUGUGAUAAUCUGACGGGUGCACUUGAGCUAUACUAUUCUAUUCUUACGAUUUAAGAGUAUUACCAUCUACAAGUCACUGGCUCUCAGUGUAACCACUGUCAGUCUAACCCUGGCUACAUGUACCCUCAUUUGGAGCUAGCACUUUGCACGGUAGCUUCUAACUAUUUACAAUCAAGUGUUUGUUUCAGCCUAUCUACUCGGCUCUUGCAUUAAGUCAUACCCUUCAUUCGCAAUCUCAGGGAUUUAAGCAGAACUGAGGAGCACAUAUUGAUUUGUAUUACUAAAAUAGUUACUCGAUUUGCAGGUUCUGGUGUGCACUCACUUGACCGAGUUAUUUAAUGAAAGUUGCUUACCAAAGGUACCCAUUGUUGCAGAGUUUCUGCCCAACUUCAGCUAGUGGAAAAACAACGGGCGUUUGACCUUAUUCUUCUUAACUCUUUUCCCUUUCUUGAUCAAUUUCAGUCUGAGAAAAUCAACUUUUACACCAUGAGCGUGCUGCGGCCUGAUGAUAACGCUACAAAUGUUGAAGACAUCAUAUUUCUCUACCGGUAUGGUUUUGUUGCAUUUUACAUCACGUUACUCGGAUCACAGUAAAUUUAUGAUUGUCGAAUAUAGACCCAAUGGGCUCUCAUAGGAGGAGAGGUGACAAACGAGGCCCCUGUUUCUUACUAGUAUUUUUCUUGUCUUAAUUGUUUCCAAAGAUUGGCCCAUCUGUCAGACUUGGCAGUGGCUAAUGUUGGGAAUUGCAAUUCCUUAGCCAUACCCAUUGAUUUCCAUUGUCCUUUUUAGUCCACGAAAUAAAUGUGCAUCACAUUCUUGCAGGUUAGUUCCCGGACAUGCGGCUCUGAGCUAUGGUGAUUUUUCUUCCUCAAUUAUUUUAUUCUAUGUAACCUAAGGAUUUAUGUUGGAAAUCUUUAUUGAAAGUUCACAUGAAUCAUUUCAUAUUUAUCCUGCAGGGCUGCAUUGUGCACUUCUAGCAGGUAUGUUCAGAAUCUCCUAAUAGUAAAAUUGAAAAUUCUAACAAGGCAAAUGAAUCUGAUAAUGUAGAACUCAUCUAGGGGAAAUGAGUCAAAUGACCAUUGGUCUCCAACUGAUUGCACUGUUCAUGUAGGUGUCCCAAAAGAAGUGAUUAACAGAGCAGCGUUAGUCUUGGAUGCUAUUGAAAAUAACAAAAACGUGGAGCGAUUGUGCGAUGAGAAAAUAUCAGCCAAAGAUCGGCAAUACAAGGUUCCAUAUUCAGGAACCAAAUCUCAAAAAAAAAAAAAAGAAUUUGAUUUAUCUAUUAUUUGUUCAUGAAUAUAUGAACUCACAUUCAUUGAUUCUGUUAAAUUCAGGGUGCAGUUGAUAAGAUGUUGGCAUUUGAUGCACUCGAGGGUGAUCUCAGUGCCUUCUUCCGAGACAUAUGACUACCUCAAACCUAAACCAUGAAAGGUAUCCUUGCACUGUCCCGUACAUUAUUGUCCAAUAUUUGGUGCAUUUUACAUUCUUUCUCAUAGAAUCAAUGGAAUCUGCAUUCCCCCAAAUGAGGAACUGAACAAUGAUUAGUAUUCAAUUGUCUUUAGGUUCUUUUUAGAUUCAUCCACCAUAAAAAUAACAGUGAAGACCUCAACCAUGCUUAAUUGACUGGUUAUAGCAUUCUGUUUUGACAAAAUUUCAAUGGAUGAAACUCGGUGGAAUCAAACUGCCAAAAAAACUGUAGAAGAGGAACUGAAACUAGAAAAUUAACCAGCAAUUAAGAUUUAUUGAUCAUGGAUGAUUUGCUAAAUAAAUGAAACUAUGCAUUACAAUGGUAUACAUAGAUCUUUGUUCUAUUAUUUGUCACGAAUGGAUACUUGAAAUAUCCAUGGUAAAUCUUUGUCACCCGUACUAGCUGCUAUGGCUGAAUCGUUGUUCCUCCCAACUGUCUGAUUCUCUGUCUCUAAGACUACUCCAUUUGAUUUAUUGGCUAUAAGCUUAAGUAGAAACUAGCUGCCUAACAUUCAUGGGGACACUGUACUGCGUUGUACCAUCAAAAAGAGCAUCCACAAAAAUUCUAGCCGUAGCCUCUGUUGGAUGGUACAGAUCCCAGAAAACAUGAUCUUUCCUGUUGGAGCAAUAUGUCGAAAUGGGCACACAAGGGACCUUAGCUUUCAGAUCUCCAAGGCCACAACAGGCAGCUUUAAUCUCAUUGAAGCCUGCAUACACACAAUUGAAAAUCACAUCAAAACUUAGGGAGAUUAGGGUGGGGGGUGGGGGGAAGCACAAAAACGACAGGGUUUUAUACCGUAAGCAGAUGGUUUUUGGAUGACGCUUUGCAUGAUUCCGUAAGUAUCAAAGUAGGAGUAGUUUAUGCCUUGAAGUUCCGAUUUCAACCCGUUCAACAUUGCCUUCAGCCCUUGGUUGUACUUAUCAGACCAGAAAUUUCGUUCUUCGUUGCAUUCUUGGGUCUUGUUUUUAACUCUUUCUGCAGGAAUACAUCCGAUCAACCCGACGCCACUAAUGAAAAAUUUACGUGCACCGAACGCGUAAAGUUUCUGUCAAUACAAUAAAAUUUAAAAUUUAAUUAAUAUUGUUUAUAUCAAAUUGUAAGAUAUUAUCUGUUUUAAUUAAUUAAAAUUUAAAAAUAAUGUGAAUAUUUAAAUAUUUAAUUUUACUCUAAUACACAUUUAUAAUUUUUUUUUUUUAAAUCGUGACACUUGACAUGUAACGAUUUUAAACAAAAUAAAGAAGAAAUAGUCAGUUACCUUGAGUUGUGCUUUUAGGUUGUUAGCCAUCAAGUCUACGAAUUGUUGUGGGGUGUACUUCUUUCUGAGAUCGGAAGAACCAAAGUAAUCGAAGAGGUCAUUGCUACCGAUGACAAUGGCGAAAAGAGAUUCGGCUGAGUGCUUUUCUGCACCUGCGCCUAGCUGUUGCAUUAAAAUUUUAUGCACUGCUAGGUAGUUGUCCACUUGUUUUGGUAAAGGUAUGGCUUGACCCUGCAUGUCACAAAUAUGUUAAAAAUGCAAUUUGAUCAACAAGCGGGGAUAGCUCAGUUGGGAGAGCGUCAGACUGAAGAUCUGAAGGUCACGUGUUCGAUCCACGUUCACCGCAUUAUAUUAUUUUAUUUUGAGUUUCUAUUUAAAGGUCCAGUGGGCUAAUAUCCAAAGAAAUUGGGCCCACCAAAUCCAGAAGCUAAUUAUUUUAUUUUAAAUUUAUAUUAAAGGCCCAGUUGCUAAAAUCCAAGAAAUUGGGCCCACCAAAUCCAGAAGCCAACAUUGGGACAACCAUAAUUUAAUAAAAGUGGGUCAUUCCAUGCGAAGGGGUCCAAUUAUUUCACCAUAGAGGAAAAAACAAGUAAAAUAUAUAAAUUGGAAAAAAAUGCAAAUAUAUUAACAGUAAAGGAAUUUUCAUGUAUUAUUCUCUUUAUUUUUUUCACUUACAAAAACUUGAUCUGUGCUGUUGAAGAUUCCGGCACCGCCGGAGGCGAAGCUGACACCGUUGGUAUACGAAGCAUCCUUCUUGUUCGACAAGGAAAGAUAUGGUGGUGAAGUUGGUAACCCUAGUUUUUCAGCUGGCCAAAAACCAAAUGUUACUAAAAAGUAAGAAACAAGGUAAAACACAAAAAAAGAAAAAAACCCUAGCUAGUAGUACUAGUCAAAGGUAUAGUGAAGCAAUAACUCAAGGUGACAGAACAUAUAGCAAGGGUUUCAUUAGGUUUUUAUUCAAUGUUGUCUUAAAUAAGAGUAGGUUGCCUCUGGGUCAUAAAAAUCUUUGGUGGAAAAUUUAAAGCCAGCAGGCUCCACAAUGUUUUUCCUGUUGCAAAAACAAUAUAUAUAUAUAUUAUAUAUAUUAUAUAUAUAUAUAUAUAUUAUAUAUAGACAUANCAUAUUUCAUAUAUUAUAUAUAUAUAUAUAGUAUAGUCUAAUUAAAUGUAUCUUAAGUUAAUAGUCGAGCGAAUAAACUAAUCCCCGUUGUCUCGUUGUUGUUCAUGUUUCUUUUUUGGUAGGUCUUGAAAUGAAAUUCUUUUUUAUUUUAAAGUUUUUUAUCUUAAUCUCUAUGAAAAUCAAAGAGAAACAAAAGUUUAAAGACGAAGAAGAAAUUAUUUUUAAAAAAAUUAUAAAAUAACUUGUCAACUUAAAAUAAAGCUGCAUGUACAUGUAAGCAUCAAUGGAUAUAUACUUUAUUAAUUUAAUAAAUAUUAUUCAAACUGUAUGUUAGAAUCAACCCACAUGAGCAUCAACACUCUUUUUAACUUUUUCAAGUGAUUCAUCAGCCUUUUUUUGCUUUUGGGACAUCUGUCAAUUACGACUUGUGUACUUAAGAUUUCCUCAAUAAGCACACCCUAGAUAAGAAUUUUGAAAUAAUCUAUACAUUUUUUUAUAUUUAUUAUUUAAAAAAAAAUUCACAUAAUCAUCCAAAGAUUGGGUUUUGUAUUUUCUAUCUUCAUCCCCAAAAGAAAGAAAGAAAGUAGAAGACAUGGAGAGACAAAGAACAUCACUAUCAUAAAUUAGUAAGGAAAAAGGUUACAAAAAUGAAGGUGAAAGUGGUUAGCUUGCAUGGCUAUUGUCAUGUUUAUUUCCAAGCUUUUGCACAUUGAAACUUCUACAAAAGCUCCUUCUCUCUCGUUCAUCAUGUGAAAGAUAUUGACAUCCCCAAGCAUGAUUAAAGGGUAUGAUUCAUUGCUUUGUCAAUGUUAAUUUUUUUUUAGAUUUGAAGAAAAAGAUUCGAACCCUGUUCUUUAAGUAGAGAAUCAUGUGUGAAUCAGCGAAUUAAAUACUAAAGUGUUUUUUUGUUAAUGUUAAUUCAUGAUCAGUUUCUGAUCAAAUUUUCUUGUACUGUUUCGUGAUGAUUUAAGUAAGAAAAAGUGACUUACCAAUCAAAUCUGCUGCGUUCUUGCCAUUGCAGAACCUCCCAGUAGGUUUCUUGGUAGGAAAAUCGAUCCCGUUGUGAGGGAAAUUUGCCUUGGCAACAGAAACAGGAAGAUAGUUGUUGUUGCCAACAUCAACCUGGGAGUCUCCGAAAACAAACACAGCCGGCACCAUUUGAGCUUUCGAGACCUCGAAACUCAAAGCAAACAGAGAGAGCAAGAAGAAGAAGAAGAAGGAGAAGAAGUUCACCAGGAAAGCUCUGGCAUCCAUUUUUAAGCAGCAGUAGGGUUAGAAGAGAAGAAGAAGAAGAAGGAAGGAGACUCUCUCUGUCUAGUUAAGAGCUUUGGGUUAAGGCUUUCAUGUGGGUUUUUAUAGAGACAGUUGGUGGUGUGAAAAAGGGAACAAUGGCAAAAGAUUCAAUGGCGUGGCUUAUGGGAGUACAGAGGAAACCCCACACUUAUCCCACUCUAUGAAUCAAAGCACUAGUCAUGUGAAGUCACACCUGACUUAAUCCUUUUCUUCCUAUUAGAGAAGACCCUGUUUGAGUUUCAAUAUAUUCAUUGUUUAAUAUGUGUUGGUGUAUGCUUAAACUUAUCUCAUGCAAACUCAUCUAUCAUUAACCUAAUCCUGAUGCUGUCUCUGCCAAAAUAAAUAUGAAUUUUGUUUUGGGUAGUAAUUGUUUGGGUUUUUUGAACAUAUAACACCAAAAUUAUCAUCUCAUUACUUUUUUUGUUGUUUCCUUAUUUUAUCGUAUAUCGUUGACUAAAUGAGUUUUGAUCGAAACUAUAAAUUUGAAGAUUUUUUUUUUAUUGAAUAAAAUGUUUAUCGACACUUUUUUUAAAGUAUGAUUAGUUUCUGUUUAAUUUUUAUAUGAUUGAAUCAUUAAAUGAAUUUUAAAAUUUAUUUCAUCAAAAUGCAUAUGAUUAGGUUUAACCUGACGUAUGAGUUAUAUUAACUAUAACACGAUGUAUCAAUUCUUUUUUAUAUAUAUAAAGAAACGAGUUCCGAAACCAAAAAUUGUAAGAAAUUUGACAAAAAAGAACUCUGAAAUUAAGACUAGAUACCCAUGGUUUCGUGAGGGAAUCAAAUGGAAGUUGUGUGAAUUUAUCAUUGUAGACUCAAGAAUUAACAGUAUCAUCCUUUGAUAAAAAACUUGGUCAGCUCAGUUGAAUGUAGAUGGAGACGUUGAUCCCAUCCUAGAGAGACAAUAACCAAGUGGGAAGACAGAGAGAAUAUGGGUCCCAUUUUCCAUGGUUGUGGAAUUUGGAGAAAGUCUUGCUGCAGAUAUCUUUUCCAGCUUUUCUUUCUGUUGAAGGCCGGCAUUGGUAUCUUUCUAUUCGGUUGAAGGGCACCGACCCAUACCCAACCCACUCCCUAAGUUUUAUUUUUUAUGUAUUUUUUUUUCAAUAUUUUUGGGGUUUUUUCUGUUAGUUUACAACUGAAUUAAUUCUUCUUCAACCUAUUGUGCAUCAUCUUUUUAUUAUUGAAUUUGUUUGUUAGUAUGGCACCGUUUAUGGUUGGUAGAUAUGGGCACUUUAAUUUGUUUUGCCUAAAGUUUGGUUUUCAAGUUGUUUGAUAAGGAACAUAUAUGCAUAUGUCAUGUAUUAAAUAAUCGGUUUCGGUUUAGGAUAUUUCAAAAAUAACCGAUAUUUUACUCGUUGACAUUUUCGUCAAAAAGAAUGUUAAAGUUCAAAGUUCGAAUUCAUUUUCUUUUUUAAGAUUGAUUCCUUUUAAAUACACCAAAAAACAAUAAAUUGUAAAGAUUUCGCUUUGUAAACACCUUACAUAACAAAUGUUUCAUUGCAUACAUACAUGUCAUAUAUGUAUAAAUUUAAUUGAAUCAAAAGGAAGGCUAAAGUCUAAGGUUCGAAUUUCCUCUUUUUUCUUCCAUCAGCUCAUCUCGAAUGUAUUAAAAAUAUAAUUACGAUUUCAUUUUGUAAACGCUAUUUUCUUAUAAUUAAUUUGAAUGAUACACAUGCUAAUUUCAUAUUUUUCUUUUUUUGGUGAUUUUUUAGCUAGCUAUUAUAUUAAAUUUUAGCUAGAAUAAGGCAGGCAAAGCAUAGGAAUUAGCUGGAAAACUGCUUUUGUACUCACACUGUUGACCUUAAAACUUGGAUAAGCCAUCCAACAAAACAUGUUUUAUUUUAUAUUGACUUAUUACUUUCCAAGUCCUUCAAGCAAUGAUCAAGAAGGGUUUGUUAAUAUAUAUAAAAAAAAACAAUUUAUUCCUUAAAUUAACUAUUGACUUGUAGGGAAGACAAAGUUUCGCUUUCACUUAAUAAUUUCACAAUAUUCUAUGAUUGUAUAUGAAAUUUAUUAACUGCGUAAUUUUAAUUCGAAAAAUGUUAAUAUAAGAGCAAUACGAGAAUUUGAAACUCUCUGAUUGAUUGUAUGUAAAAUUCAUUAACUGUAUAAUUCUAAUUUCAAAAAUGUUAAGAUAAGAAUAAUACGAGAAUUUGAAAUUCUGUGAUCGUAUCUGAAAUUCAUUAACCGUGUAAUUCUAGAUCCGAAAAAUGUUGAAAAAAACAAGAGUAGUGUAAGAAUUUGGGAGUGGGAAAGGGUUUCCCUAACAGCAAGUAGCCAGCUGCUAAAUGGGGAAGAACAUGGUGAUGACGCAUAACAAGUUUGACCAACAGCCGAUUGUCCUUUAUGGUGGCUAAUUGUGAUGACUCACAAAUUGUAGAGCUGGCGAAACCCACUGCCCCAUGUUUGACCCACACGGUGGUUAGCCGCUGGGGACCUUCGGGUGCAACCUAGCCGACAGUUGGUGGGACCAUGGCUAUCUAUUUUGAUAACGUGGUGCGUCACCAAAAUGAGUGGUUCCAGACUGCUAACCAAAUCUGAAUUAAGGAAUGAAGGCCAAAUGGGUCAUCCUCCUCCCUUUUUUCAUGCUUGUUUUCGAGCUCAAAAGCAUGGAAAAUUCAAACAAAAAUUUGGGUGUCAUACAACUAAGAAAAGAUAUUCAAAUUCUCAAUCAUUACAUAUCAAAAAAAAAUUUGAUCGUUUUUUUUAAAUAAAUGAUAAAUUUUCGACGCGUAAUCGAAUUUUUAAGUGUUUUCAUUUUAAAUUUUGAUAGAGAAAACGAAUAAUUUGCAUGUCAAAUUAUUACAUACAAACUCUAAGCCGACAUAAAAAUUCUUCUAAUUUUAAGAAUAUACAAUAAAUAACAUGUGCUUGAUAUAUGGUUUUAUAAUUUUAUAAUAUACAAAUUUCGUUAAAACUUACAUAAUUUAUAAAAAAAAAACCCAAAUAUAAUGCAUACAUGUUUGCAUACAUAUCAUCUCGAAUCAAUAUUUUAUAAGAUUUUAUCAUUAAAUUAAUAAAAUCUUUAGGCAAUAAAAUCAAGAAAUUAGUGUGAAAGGAGGCAAGAACAAUGGUGAUGCUGCUACAACCAUGAGAGAUUGAGAGUUAGGACUCAAGUUCCUAUCCUAACGUGUGAAAGGAUCAGAUCUGAUUUGCUCACUUAUCACAAUUUUUCAAUUUUUUUUUUGUCUUAUCUCUUUGAAGCUAAUAUCUGCUUUGUCUUGUUUUAAGCCUGUCUUUGUGGAGUUCAUAUUUCAUAUGUGCAUGUCAAUUUAAUAAAAUGGUGCCCAUUUUGUUACAACCAUGGAAAAAAAAAAAGUCAAAUUCUUGGUAUUUCUAAAACUAUGAUAGAUUGAUUUCAACCUCCAAUAGUUGAUUGAUAGAGACAUUACUUUUUUUCUCAAAAAAAUUAAAUUAUUAUAAUGAACAACGUUCACAUUUAUAAAUUCAGAACUUCUCAUUUACCUAUUUGAUAUGAGAUUUUAUAUUAUUCUCUCAUACUCGAAUUCACAAAGUCUUUGUUGCGACUCAAGUAUAAGUUAGCUUUGAUACUAUUUUGUCAUGGAACUAUUACCUUAUUCCUAAAUGGCUAUCUUAUUGAAAUAUCAAAAAGUUGGGUAUGGGUGGUUUUUUCUUUUUUAAUUGUGCAUGACAAUUCAACAAUAUGGGCACUAUUUUAUUACAACCAUGGAAAGCAAAAAGGUCAAAUUCUUAAUAUUUUUAAAAUUAUAUCGUUUCUAAACAUUUGACAGUUAAAAAUUGAGAUUUUAAUUUUAAAAUUUCGAAUUUGAAUCUUGAAAUAAAGAAAUGAGAAUUAUGGAAUGAACUUUCCAAUUCAAAAUCUUUUACAUAUUCGAAAGAAAAGAAUUUCAUAUGCUACCAUUCAAUAUUGCAAUGUUAAGAUAGCCAAAUAAUAAUCCAUAAAAAUGAGGUAUAGCCCUUAAUGAAACCUAAGCCUUAAUCUCACCUGAAAGUUGCUCCAAGUUGAGUUUAGUCCUUGUCUCGAGAUAUUAUCAUUUUCUCGAAAAGUUAAAUUAUUGACAUGUGCAACAUCCAUACUGUUAGAGGUGGGAGCUUGAUUUGUAGUAUGGUGCAGAGCUUGCUUAAAUCGAUUGGUAAAGUGAUAAUCAUGUGAUUGUCACAUGCUCUCUUUACUUAUAUGAUCCAACGUGCCAUGCACGUGUUCUUAUUUCAUUUUAUUUUCUUGUUGUUUUUAUUUUUCCUCUGGUUGUUAGCCUCAGUAGAUGUAAUGGUCAUGUGGCCUAUUUCCUUGUUUUUAGGUAAUGCAUCAAACUAGUUGUAUGGGGUCCACUUUAAAACCAUUUUGUUGUUGCUUUUAAAUACUGGCAGUUUAUUAUAUCGUGGGAUAUGAAUGAGAUAUUUCCAAAUUUACUCUAUGGUCUCCUUCUAAAUAAUGGCGACUCUCAAAAUAAAGGGAUCUCCUCCAACAGCAAUGAUCUCCCACAAGUCAUAGGCUCUCAAAUAAGCCUCCAUCUUAAUCGUCCAUAUCUGGUAAUUUUUCCUAAAAAAAUCAACGGAGCAGUAAUGGUUAUAUUCGAAGAAGCCAUUUGAAACAGAGAGUUUAAAAGCUUAGCAAACAGGAAAUCAAUACUGAAGAAAAAACUUUCUCACAGUCCCACAAGAUCCAGAAAACACUUUGAUAUUAUGUUAAAUGUAGAGCUUGUAGCCAGCGAGAUCAUGUGAAAAAAUUUUGCAAUAAUCUAGGAACUAAGGCUAAUGAGAAAGCUGCAGUUGCUAAGCAGAAAGAUUAGGUGGAGGAUGAAGUUCUUUUUAUGGUUAAGAAAGCAGACUCUAAUGAAAAGAAAAACAUUUGGUUGUUUGAUAGUGGCUGCUCAAACCAUUUAACAUGCUGCAAGUAGAUUUUUCAGACUCUUGAUGACAACUUUAGGACAAAGAUGAAAAUUGGUAAUAAAGAUUUUUAUUUGAUCUUUGGAGUUGGUACAGUAGGGGUACAAAAACUUGAUAGUUUGAAGUCAAUAUCAAAUGCUUUUUAUGCACUAGAUGUUACUCAAAAUCUACUCAGUGUAGGGCAGCUGUUGGAUGAUAAUUAUGAAUUGGUGUUCAAGGACAAGGCAUGUACAAUUAAAGAUCCUAUUAGAGUUGAGCUACUGGCUGUGGGAAUGAAGAACAAAUGUUUUCCUUUGGAUUGGAUGAAGGUUAAUCAUAUUGCUUACAGUUGUACUAUGACUGAAAAUGACUUUUGGCAUAAAAGGUUUGGUCAUGUGAACUAUGGUUCACUGAAACUGAUGAGCAUAGAUAAGAUAAUGGUUGGUUUACCUGUGAUAUCUAAAUUUGAUAGGGUUUGUAAUAUUUAUUAGUUUGGUAAGCAAAAACGAGUACCAUUUCCCAAAGUCAGAAGAUCGAAUGCUACUAAGAAAUUACAGCUAUUGCAUACUGAUCUAGGAGGUCCUAUGAAGACUUCAUCACUAAAUGGAAGCAGGAAUUAUUUGCUUUUUAUUGAUGACUAUACUAGAUUCAACUGGGUAUAUUUUCUCAAAGUGAAAUUUAAUGCUUUGAAUGCUUUUAUAAAGUAUAAAGCACUAGCAAAAAAUCAAACAAAUUUGACCAUUAAAAUGUUGAGGAGUGACAAUGGGACUGAGUACACAGCUAAAGAAUUUGAAAGUCACUUGAGCAAGUUUGGUAUUACACAUCAAUUAACAAUGUCUUACAGCUCUCAGCAGAAUGGUGUUUCCGAGAGAAAAAACAGGACAUUGAUGGAGAUGGCAAGGUGUUUACUCUUUGAAACGAAUUUGCCAAAAACAUUGUGGGUCGAAGCUAUGAACACAGCCAACUAUCUACUCAAUUUAUCUCUAACAAAAACCCUGGUGAGUAAAACUCUUUAUGAAGCAUGGUAUGACUUAAAGCCUUUUGUUGAUCAUUUAAAAAUAUUUGGUUGCAUAUGUUAUGCUAAAAUACCAGAUGCUAAGAGAACAAAACUAGAUGAAAAGUCUGUUAUUACAAUUCACCUUGGAUAUAGUGAAGUUUCUAAAGGAUAUAGACUAUUAAAUGUCAUGACUAUGAAGUUCUUUGUCAGUAGAGAUGUUGUUUUUAAUGAAAGCAUGAAGUGGAAUUGGGACACUAAAGCUAUGGUAAGUUCAUACAGUUUACAUAUUCUGAUAGAUUACGUAUCAAAAAUGAAGAUGAACCAGAGUCAGAUGCAAAUGUUGAUAAACCUCCUGUAAGAGGAACUAGACCUCUGGAAGAUAUUUAUUCAAGGUGUUAUGUUGCUGUCUUAAAACCAAGUUCAUAUGUAGAAGUUGUUGCAAAUGAGCAUUGGAGACAAGCUAUGGAGACUGAAAUGUUGAUGAUUAAAAAAAAUAAUACCUGGUGUUUGGUUGACAGACUUGAAAAGUAGAAGGUAACAGGAGUUAAGUGGGUUUACAGAACAAAACUUAACUCAGAUAGAACCAUCAACAAAUACAAGGCCAGACUUGUUGUGAAGGGGUUUUCUCAACUGUAUGGAGUGGGUUUCUUUGAAACUUUUGCACCAGUAGCCAGACAUGAUACAAUCAGGCUAUUGGUGGCUUUUGUUGCUUGUGAAGGAUGGGAGAUAUGGCACUUGGAUAUCAAAUCAGCUUUCCUUAAUGGGAUUAUCAAAGAAAAUAUUUAUGUGGAGCAAUAAGAGGGUUUUGUUCAACCUGGGAAAAAAGAUAAAGUAUGCAAGUUGCUAAAGGCACUAUAUGGCCUUAAGCAAGAACCACGAGCCUGGUAUGAAAGGAUGGAUAGCUAUAUGCUUAGUCAAGGUUUUGUGAGAAGUGAGAACGAACAUACUUUGUAUGUCAAAGCCUCAGGUAACCUGAUCUAUUUGAUAGUUUCUCUAUAUGUUGAUGAUCUGCUCAUCAUAGGACCAAGUGGUGUAUUUUGAAUGACUUAAAAGCAAAGAUGCAAAAUGAGUUUGAUAUGAAUGACUUGGGGAAAAUGUCAUGUUUUCUGGGUUUACAAAUUGAACAAAGGUUUGAUUGUAUACUGUUGCACCAAAAAAAAUAUGCUUUAGAAUUAUUGAAGAAAUUCAAGAAGGAAAAUUGUAAGGCAGUGGCAACACCAUUAAUCACUAAGAACAGAUUUAGUUUGAAGGAUGAAAGUACAGAAGCUAAUGAAACUUAUUACAGAAAACUUAUUGGAAGUUUGUUUUAUCUUUCUACAUCUACACCAAACAUUUUGCAUGUUAUUAGUCUCUUGUCUAGAUUUAUGCAGAAACCUCUUGAAGUUGAUCUCAUGCAACUAAAAGGAUCCUCAGAUAUGUUAAAGGAACCUUAAGCUAUGGCCUUAAGUUUAGUAAGAAUGUGAAGUUGGAACUGCAAGGCUACUCAGACAGUGACUAGGCAAGGAGCUGGGAAGAUUCUAAAAGUACAAGUGGCUAUUGCUUCUCUUUUGGAACUGCUGUCUUCGAGUGGAACUCUAAGAAACAAGAAAUUGUGGCACAAUCUUAAGCAGAGGCAGAAUAUGUGGCUGUCUCUGUUGCAACAAAUCAAGCAAUCUGGCUCAGAAAGAUCUUAUUAGACCUGAAGGUGAUUCAAGAACAACCAACUGUCCUUUGGAUGGAUAACAAGUCUACUAUAGCCAUUGCUUCAAAUCCUGUAAACCAUGGAAGAACAAAGCAUAUAAGGGUUAAAUACCAUGCCAUAAGAGAAGCUGUCAAGAACCAUGAGAUUCAGGUGAAGUAUUGUUGCUUCAAUGACCAAUUGGCUGAUAUUUUAACUAAGGCUCUUAGCAGAGACAAAUUUGAGUAUUUGAGGAUGAAGCUUGGAGUCUACAAAGUCAUCUUCCAAGAGGAGUGUUAGAGGUGGAAGCUUGAUUUGCAGUAUGGUGCAGAGCUUGCUUAAACCGAUUAGUAAAGUGACAAUUAUGUGAUUGUCACAUGCUCUCUUUACUUAUAUAAUCCAACAUGCUAUGCACGUGUUCUUAUUUCACUUUAUUUUCUUGUUGUUUGUUAUUUUUCCUUUAGCUGUUAGCCUCAAUAGAUGUAAUGGUCACAUGACUUAUUUCCUUGUUUUUAGGUAAUGCAUCAAACUUGUUGUAUGGGGUCCACUUUAAAACUAUUUUGUUUUGGCUUCUAAAUUUUGGCAGUUUAUUGUAUUGUGGGAUAUGAAUGAGAUAUUUCCAGUUUAACUCUAUGGUCUCCAUCUUCAUUUCUUUGGCUUUACUCACCAUUGUUGUUUUUAAGAUUUAUUGUUCUUAAAGUUAACACAUCCUUAUAAGUUCAAAAUCCCUCUCUUAUUUAUCAAUAUAAGAUUUUAUAAUAUUCUUUUACACUCGAAUUCAUAACGUUUCAUUACGAGUUAGGUGUGGAUCGACUUUGAUAUCAUUUUGUCAUGAAAUCAUUAUCCUCUUCUUGAACGAUAAUCUUAUUGAGAUAUUAAAGUUCGACACCCUUUUUUACCUAUAUGAUAUAAGAUUAUGUAAUAACAAAGCAUGCAAACACCUAAACUUUAUGAAAAAUACGUAGCAGCGGAAGGAAUUCUCUGCAGUCUGCUAUAUCAAGUCUUUGUCUCUAAAUCUAGAAGGAAGGAAGACCAAAGAAAGAGUCACAAACAAAUAUCAGCUAAUCUAGAAAAACAGAAAAGAUCAAACAUCUUGACAAUGUAACAAAGGUCAACUGUUUAACUUUCAGAUAAGAGUUGAAGUUUCAAACUAAUCAAUUACUAUAAAAAGGUGAUGGAUGCCACAUUUACAUACCAGAAGAUUAAAGCUUAUAAGCUAAAAAUGGCUUGUUCGAACCGAUUGACCUAUUGUUUUUUACUGUUCCUCUCCCUGGUAAGCUGUCUAGGAACUCUUAUCAUGUUCAAAAUCUUAGGUAUUAGUUAAAUUUUGAAGUUUGAUGUUCAUUAUCAGAACGUUAAGAUUUCUUUUUUUUUUUUUUUACAGAUUGGAUCAAGCAUUGCUGCUUCUCCUAGUGAUGAUUUGUUAGCAUGGGUGCAACAAGAUAAUCGCCGGUUCCUUAAUGCCAUUAUCCGAGUUACCAAUCUUAAUCGUACGAUUAAGUACGUAUAAAUUCUUGUUUUUUAACGUUAUUUUCAGAGUUAACAAUCUUAAUCGUACCAUUAAAUACAUAUAAAUUCUUGCUGCUUAAUGCUAUUAUCGGACUUAGCGAUCUUAAUCGUACCUAUAAGUCUCUUGCAUGAAAUUCAUGUCUCACGUUCAUGUGAUUUAACUAGUAUGGUUUCUCAAAUGUCAGGUUUUACACUGAGAACUUUGGGAUGAAAGUACUGAGGCAAAGUGACAUCCCACAUGAAACUUACUCGUAUGCUGUCCUUGGGUUUGGCCCCGAAGACUCUCAUUUUGUCCUGCAGCUGAGACAAAGUAUGUUUUCCAACAUCUUUGGACUUUGGGUCACUUUGUCUAUAUGUUUUUCUCUUUCGUACUGAUAUUCAUUGCAGCAAUUGACAUUGACAACACCUUAUGCUUUGUUUGUCAAGACUAUGGAGGGGAGAAGUUGAAGCUAGGGACAGCCUUUGCACACUUUGGGAUUGCAACUCAAGAUGUGAGUAAAACAAAAACAGAGGUGGAGAGAUCCGAGCUUGCAAAAUGUCAAUCAAUUUAGAUUUUUAAGCUGUCGGAUCUUUGUUAUCCUCAGGCUUACAAAAUGGUUGAAGAGAUCCGAGCCAGAGGUGGAGUCAUCACUCGUGAAGCAGGCCCGAUCGAAGGGGGAACAACCGUUUUCGCCUUCAUUCAGGAUCCUGAUGGCUACAUGUUUGAGCUCAUCCAGAGACCUCCAACUCCUGAACCACUUUGCCAACUAAUGCUUCAUGUGUCUGAUCUAGAUCGUGCUAUCCAAUUCUAUGAAAAGGUAGAUCACCUUGCGUGUGUCUUAAACAUAUAAAUAUAGCAAGGAUCUCCUCACCUGUUACUUGUUACUUUUAAAUUGGAUAUCCGUCAUAUUUGAUGUCAUUUGAUGAUGCAGGCCUUAGGCAUGAAGUUGCUGCAAAAGUAUGACAGCCCUGAGGAGCAGGUAAGCCAUUUGAUGUUGUAGUAAAUUUCCCUGUUGUUCCUACUGAAAGCCAAUAGGACUUGGCCUGAAUAAAGGUUCAAGUGCAUGAACUUAUUUUACAUGAAAAUCUAUCAAAUGUUCUCUGCUGCAUUCCUCUGUACAGUUUGCUAUUGCCAUGGUGGGCUAUGGAUCAAACUUAACACAGAUAACCACAGUGGAGUUGAGAUAUAACUACAAUGUCACUGAGUACACCGAAGGAAAUGGAUAUGUGCAGGUCAGGUUUAGCUAUGUCACACAGUUUUCAUCAAAGCCUGGAUCAUUUUAACAAAGAAACCUGUCUCCUAACAUAACCCCUAUUGCCAGGUUGCUAUAAACACAGAUGAUGUAUACAAAAGCGCUGCUGCUGUUGAGCUGGUUAGUCAAGAACUCGGAGGGAAUAUAACACAAGGACCAGAUCCGAUCAGCAAAACCACUUCGUUCCUUGAUCCGGAUGGUUUCAAAACGGUUUGGCCCCCUCUCUAGACACAGGAUCUCUUGCUUUAGCUUUAUAGCAACCUUAUUAUGGUUAUCUGAUGACUUGAUUCUUCAGGUUUUGGUGGGCAACCGAAGGAAGAAAGAGUAAGGGUACUGCCCAGGAAUUUCUAAGAGUCAGAAUAAGAAGGCAUGCUAUGGAGCCAGUGCCUAAUGUAUUCAUUUGUAUUAUCCUAUUGCUUCUGUUUCAUGUGUUACUAUAUUAAUUAAAAGGACUGCUUAAAGAGGUGUAAAGACAUUUUUCAGAGACGACGGAUUUUUUUCUGUUGACCCGUAACAUGUUUAAAACCCUUUCAAACAUCAAAAAUGACCAAAACUAUUUUCCGAAAGCAUUUGCAUGCUUACCAAAUGAAGCCUUAACUACAAUAUCAUUUUUGUUUAAAGAAUCGGAUUUGGGGGUAGAGUAGAAAGUUGCUGACGAGAACCUUGGACAUUGAAGAACAAUGAACAGAAUAUUACAAAAUGUUACAAGUACAUGUAACCCGAUCCUAACAAUUUCCAGGCCCUCUACUUCCUACAACGUGUGGCCAAAAACUUUAAAUAUGAACACAGGAUCGCAAGUACAUACUCGUGAGCAGAAUCUCACUUGUCUUGUGCUCCUGCAAAGCACAAAUAUGAUCUAAACUCUUUGAAUAAGGUGUUGGCUAAACGCUCAUCAGGCACCUUCUGCCUGUGGAUAGGAUGAGAACUAACUAUGACUCUUCAAAGCAGAACUUCAAUCUGCGCCUGACAAUUUCACUUCCAGUAGCUCCUUCAAUAACAACUUGAAGUGAUGCUCAUUGCAUCCCUUACGAGCUAUAAUCUGCAUUUCAGAACAGAGCACCAGAACUUGGAAAGGAUGCAAAUGUUUCAGAAUCUGUGGGUCUCGAUCAUAAUCCUAAUAGAAUAGUGUUGGAAGUCACAGAAAUUAAACCAGGUGCUUAUACUCAUGAGCAAAGAAUUCAUAUUAAGCAAAAACUUCUGCAUGCAUCAAAACCAGCUUCCUCUGUUACUCACCUUUUCUGUAACUAUAACGAUUGGCUUAUAACCAAACUUGUCUUCGAGUUGUCCAAGUCGCUCUCUCAUCAUAUGAAUAUCCUAGGUUCAUCAACAUCAGGACAUCACAAACUUGAUUGCUUGGAAAAUAAAUCUAAGAUAUAAAGAAUGAAAAAGGCAGACAAAAAAUAAAAUUCUUACACACUAUAAUCUAUAUAGCUAUGCUUCAAUCAUCAGUUAGCAGUCUGAUAAGGUUUGUGUCAUUUAUCCUUCGUACUUGCAUAAUGAACAGAUUAAAGAUGUAAUUGAGCAUCCUUUCCCUCUAAACAGAGUGUAAGUGAAGGAGAAAGAGCAGUGUACCUUAGUUUGAAAUGAGUGAUGGUCACUGAAGUCGAAUCGAUCAACAUAUAUUGGUCCCAUCUGCAGCAAGUUAUUCACCACAUAACAACAAACGUAGAGACAGAAAUGGGGAGAAAUAAGAAAUGAAGAGGACCUCCAUUCUACAUCACAUGUUAAUUGCACCAGAAAAUAAAAUGUAUGAAGCUUCUAAAUAAAUAACAUCAAACGUCAAAAAGUAUACCUUUUCCAUCCCCUGCACAAAAGCAUCUGAAGAACCAAUUGCAGAAACACAUAAUACAACUGCAUUAUGCACGGCUCCCAAAUGCAUCUUUGUGUUUAUAUUUCUCACUUCAAAGAAACAUGAUGGAGCCAUUCUGGUGUAGAAAACAGGAAGUGACUUGAUUUCCUGAAUCACUAACUCGAUAUCUUUGAGCUUUUGCUCUAAUACCUGCAUGAGUUUGAAGCAUAAGCUUUUAGGUCAAUUCCUUAACAUAGCCCACCUAUCAAUACAAGCAAAAAUAUGCUAAUUUACAACAAAACCACAUGCAAGAAUAUGUGAACUGGUGUUGCACAUUUGCACAACUUUUGUUAAUGAAUUAGAAAUUAUCUUCUUGAAAAGGAAAAUUUUAAAGCUCAAUUCCUCAUACCAGGUCAGCAUGAUGAACUACAGCAACAUCUGCACGUUUGAGUGCCGUCAAAGGUUCUCUCAAGGGUCCAAGCGGAAGUAGUUUGCAGUUUCCCCAUAGCAUUAAUCCAUUAAUCAUUACAAUCUCUAGGUCACGACACAAGCUCCAAUGCUGCCCUCCAUAUACACGAGAUCAUAACUUAUCAGCAUAAAACCUACAUAACCAAAAUGUUUUUUGCUUCAAGACUUCCCUGACAAAGGAAAAUGCAGAGGCUACUGUACAAUCAAAUCAAUUCCUGAAACAGACACUGCUAUUGUAUUUGUUCUUAACUGUUGGCUUCAAAAUGUACAUAUCAACUUAGCAAGAAAUGGGGAAAGAAAUACUACCAAGAGGAGUUAUUUAGCCAUAUAAUUUCCUAUUAAUGAACAAAAUUAGGCUAGAAGACACACUCAAUACAUAAUAAGACAUACAAUGAACAUGAAAGAAAUGGCCAUACCUGCAUCCCAUCAUCCAGAAUAGCAGCACCAAUUUUCUCUAAACUGAUAUGACUUCCCACUUUCUGGUCAAGAUAGGUUCUCUCAAAGAGAUUACUACCACGGCAAUCUACAUAUCCAUAUUUUUCAAAGAACAAGUUGGCGGUCGCCAUACGAUUUGCACCUACGCCAACUUUUACAGGUCCCCCGAGUAGAUGCCUUUGCAGCAUUUUAGCUUCAUCUCCACCAGCAUAACCCUACAAGAUUGAAAAUGACAAUACCUAAGAUACAGAUUUAGCUCUAACUUUGCCACCUAACAUUGAAUUCCGAAAACCAAAAACCGUCCAAUACACUCAAACCAACUUAAAACCAAUCUUCCACAUCAAAACAACAAAUAUAAAAGCCACCUUUAUAAAGGGCCAACCACCAAACAAACUGAAAAAUACACCAAUCCUUAAAAGUGACAAAAACCUGACUCAACCCGAUCACUUGCCCUGAACCCAAGCAUACCCACUUGGGAACUACAAAACAAGUCGACCAACCAAACUUGAUUUGACCAAAACCCAAAAUGACCCUACAUGAAACAACAUGAAGCCGAAUGACCCGUCACAAACAGGACCUUAAACCCGACCUGAUAACUACAUACACUAGCAAAGUAAAAUGCUGCGAGAAUUGACCCAAUCCUGGAAACCUGGCUAACUCGCCCGAAGGUAGAAAACCAACCCGAUUUUACCUCAGAAUUCGAUGAUCCAAGUCCAAACUGACCCAUCCCGAACCCAACCAGACCCGCUAACCACCUUUAAAUCUACCGUAUGAAAAAUCAAGUACAACAAUGAAAAAGAAGUACAAACAAAACAUACCCUUGUUAAAAUGAGAGGUGAAAUUCCAUAAUCAGCUAAACAUUUAGCUAUGAACUCAACCAUUGGCGUCUUUCCAUUUCCUCCCCACGUCAAGUUCCCAACACUGAUCACCGGCACUGGCAACCUUUCAUCAAAAAAAAAAAAUCCAAUAAAUCAAAUAAACAAACAAACAAUAAUUCUUCGAAGAGUUUCAACAUAAUGUACUCUAAAUUAAGCUUAACAUAAUCAAUAAGGGGGAAGUCGUUUUCUAGACCUGUGCCUAGAGAAGAAGCCGGAGCAGUAUAGUGAGCGGCGGAGAGAUAGAACGACGCCGUACAGAGAAGAAGCGAAGGAGAGGAAAGGACCAAGAGAGCGAUGAAACCCGGAGAGCUUAGCUUGGUCUCUGGCGUAGGCGAUCUCUUUCACCGCCCUCUUCAGUUUCUCCAUUAGCAGCGAAAAGAGAGGACACUGAGACUGGGAAGAGGGAAAUCAUGGAGGGAAUGGAGGGGUAGUUGUUGGGUCGAAUUAUACGGUUUGUUGUCGGAUCCAAGCCCAAUAUUGAUAUGGGUCAAAAGUGAAAACCUUUGAUCCUCUAAUUUCAGAAUUUUGUAAUUAAAAUUUUCAUUACAAUAUAAUAAUUUUUAAAUAUAAUUGUUAUAUAUAUAUAUAUUAUAUUUAAUUAAAAUUUAUGAUUUCUUUUGAAAACGUGACUUUUUUUUAAUUUAUGUAUUUAAUUUAUAUAUUAUAUCAAAAUCUCAUAUUUAUUUUACAUUAAUAACUAUAACAAAAGAAUUUUAACAAUAUUAAGAAUUAAAAUGAUAUUAAUUAAUUUGAAAAAUAUAAAGGCAGAUCGAAGGAGGUGGGAGUGGUGGCUGUCACCCCUUAAUGAUUAAUUUUUGUUUCAAAUUGAAUCAUUAACUUCAUUCAUGAUUUUAUAUGAUUAUCUUUUAAUCAAUUUUUAUACAAAAUCUUAAGUUCGUCAUUUAAUAUAAAAAUUUAAUUUAUAUAACUUUAUUAUAAAAUAUAUGAAUUAAAUGUGUAAUUUGAGAAAUUUUUUUAAAAAAUUAUAACCAAAUACAUUCCUUAAUCAUUUUACCUUUUAUAUUAUCAUUAUUAUAUGUUCCUUUACGAGAUCGAAAUUAAGCAAUGCAUGAAAUGAAAGUGAUGGCAAGGAAAAAGAAAAUGAAAUAUAAAAUAAAAGGAAUAUGAGAACAUUGAUAUUUAGAUUCGAGUCAUUAUAAUUGAUAUCAAAUCAUAUGUUAAUUUAAUGUGAGCUUUCACAUUAUGUUAAUGAGAUAUUAGUUUCUAUUUGUGAUUGUGAUGUAUAAUUUUGAUUAGAACAUUACGAAUUGGAGUAAGUAUGUUAUGAUUUUUCAUCAAAUAUAAUAUAUGAAUGUCAUUAUUAAAAUUUAUAUAAAAUAUAAAUUAAUCACUAUUAAUAAUUUAAAUUUAAAAAUUUUAAAUUAUAUAAUUUAAAUUCGAAAAUAGUUAUUCUGAGAUCAUUACUCGAAAUAUUUAAAUUUGAUUUAUGCUCGAAAAUAUAACAAUUAAAUUUUUUAUCGUAGUUAAAAAAACCACGUCAGCGGGUGGGGCCCGUGGUCCUUAAACGAAGACAAAUGCAAUUACAAGAGGAUCACCACAUUUCAGAACAGUUAUGUUAGGGCCCACCAUUUCUAACCAAAAAGAACCCACUUGAUUGAUCCCAGCACCAUCCACCAAUCAAGUCAAAACCAAUCCGACGGCCCAAAUUGGCUGACUGCGUCAGAGAGUAAGUAAAAGCGACAGUGUACCAAAGCCUUGGAAAAUAGAUGGGUAAAAUAUUUAGAUUCGGGUUUUAAUCAAAAUUUUACAAUAAUUUAUUAAUAUAAAAAUAAAUAUUCUAUUUCCAAAAAAUAUUUUUCAAUAAAUAUAUAAAUUCAGCUAUUAAUGUUUUAUUGAUAUUUCUAUUAAUUUACUAACCUGAUAAUAUUUUUUUGAUAAUUUUAUUUUUAUUAAUUUAAAAAAUUAAAUAAUAUAAAUUACAACUUUUAUUUUUUAAUUUUUUUAUAUUUUUUAUUAACUAUGUUUGUAUUUUUAGAUUUUGUUAUGAAAUUGUACUUAAAAGUUAAUAGGUCUAGAUAUUUUACUUUAAAUAUAAACACCAGCUUUUCAAUUGGAGGAAAGAGAAGCAUCAUGAUUUCUGUCAUCAACUAUAGGACCCACGCGGGCCCACUUUCCCUCUUUGAUGAGACCCCACCAAACACGUUGAAUCAAACGAAGGAGAUGAAUUUCAGGAGUUUUCCUUUUUGUUCCUCUGAUGUUGGGGCCAUCAUCACCGUUCGUUUUAACGACAGGGUGGUAAUUUUGACGGUCCUGAUUGAAUUCGGACCCUGCACCGAAAAAAAGGUUAGGAAAAGGUUGGUAUGAAUUGACCAUUCAGUCCUUUACGGGGAAGGUGAAAAGAACAUUUUCUUAGGGAGCGUAAUGGUCAAUGUCUCGGAGGUCAUUUUCAAAUUUGAUUUGAAUAAGAAAAAAAUAGAAGAAGAAAAUUUAUGAUGUUUCUCAUCACUCGCACUUGGCGGCGCGUGGAUAUUCUCCCUCCUCCCCUUUUGGAAGCUUUGGCCUUUUAAGGCUGUAAAACCUGGUUAGCCAAGUCAGCCUUUGAUUGACCCAAAAGCCAAUGGGAAAAACCCUUUUACUUUCCUUACCUUUUCCUUGAUGAGAUUGAGAUUCUCAAAUGAAUAAAUUCCUUUUUUAUUUGCAAGUUGGUAGAUAUAGUAGAAUAUAAAUUUUGGGAAUAAGUAGAAUCAAGGUGUGUAUUUGAUCGGUUCGGUUUUGAAAUUUUUGAAAAUCGAAUAAAUUGAAUUCUCAUAAAAAGUAAUCAAAAUCGAUCAUACUAUUAUAAAAAAUAAAAAUAAUGAAAUCGACUUGUUUCAAGCUUUCGAUCCGAUUAUUUUGAAUUGAAUAAUGGUUAUAUUUGAAAAAUAUCACUAAUAUUUUUAUAUGAAAAAUAUAUUAUGAAGGAUCAUUUUUCAAUUGGUUCAGUUAUAAAUUUUGGAUAUUAAAAAUUGAUUGAAAUAAUCUAAUAAAUUAUUCUUCUUAAUUGAUGAUCAUCGAAAUAAAAAAAAUUAACUUGAAUUAAUCAAAUUCAAUCAAUUUACUUUGAGUUGAAGUGACUAAUACUCACACAUUGUCAAAAGGAAUGUAACAUUAUGCUUAUUGUCAAUGGCUUGGGCAUUAGCCUAUAUGCCCAAUAUUCCCUAAUUAAAUAAAAAUGUUGAAAAUUUAUGUGGCCAAAAUUUAAUAAACUAAGUACACAUUUUUGCUUAAAAGAACUUUAUUUAAGAAAAUUUUACAUUCUCCUCUAUCUUAUCUUAUCAAAUCAAAUGAUUAUUAGUUAAUGAAUUAAUGUACAUAAUAAAUAAUAAUUACUGAUUACCAUAAGGAAAGUUUAACAUUAUUAAAUAAAUGUCAAUUAUUAGAACAAUUAAACUCAUUCAUUAAUCUUUAGAUAUGAGACGUGCAUCCACGCGCUAGAGCUAAAAAAAUCCACGAAGAGAGAGAGGUGACGUAACCGAACGGGCAACAGACAAAGAGACGCGCAAAACCCUAACCGGGCAGCGGGCAGCACGUAACGCCGUCUUUCUCAGCCCCAUUAACGCCACACUCUCCCGCUUGUCUCUCAAACCAAGUCCCAAUCAUUUUCAUUAGACCCGAGCCUCCAGGCUAGGAGCUAGGCUCGGAAUCUAGAGAAAAAAGCGGAAGCCCACCAUGGAAAAAUAAUGGAACCAAAAGCAAGAGAGAGAAAGCCGAAAAAAUAAAAAUAAAAAUAACAGAAGAGAGAGAGAAAGAGGGAGGCAGUGAGUGAUGGUUUUUUUAGAGAGAGAAAGUGAACAGAGAUGGGGCAGAUCGUGAAGAGGAAGAAGAAAGGGAGGCCGUCGAAGGCGGAUCUGGCUAAAAGAGGGAGUUCGCCGGCGGCACAGUCGGAGACGGAGUUAAGGCGGAGUCACCGGAGGAGAAAUGUGAGGUAUAACAUCGAUUACGACGAUUACCUCGACGAAGACUUCGAGGAAGAAGACGAGGAAGAAGAAAGAAGGAGAGAGAAGAAGCUUAAGCUUGUUCUUAAGCUUAAUCAAGGUCAAGAAGCUGAGCCGCCUUCUCCUCCUUCUCUGCCACCAAGCCGCGGCCGAGGUGUUUCCUCAGCUGCCGCGCGUGGGAGGCGCGCGGGCAGGAAGGAAGUGGAGGAGGAAGAAGUAGAGGAUGAUGAAGAAGAGGAAAGCGAGAAGAGGAAGAAAAAGAUUAAGAAGAGAAGAAUCAACGGUGGCGAUGAAAUUGAUCAUGAUGAUUACGAAGAAGAAGUUGACCAUGAUGAAGAUGAUGAUCAUGGUGAUGCGGAGGUAUGUACUGAAUCAUUUGUACGGAUCUAUCAAGAAAGAGGAAGAAAAGCUGAAGCAAGCAAAAAACACUGAAAAAACUAAAGAAGAAGAAAAUUAAAAUUGUUUCUGUGUUGGAGGGAAGGGGAGAAUUUAGGGGAAGAAAAUAACGGUCGAAGGUCAACUGUAAAAAAAAAAAAAACUACUAACAGAAUCUGAUCACGCUCCCACCUUUCUCUCUCUACUUCUCUUUCUAUAUAUCUAUCUAUCUCUCUAUAUAUCUAUUUCUCUCUCUCUAACCAACUAUUUCUCUCUCUAAAUCUAUGUCUUUUACAAACUCUCUUUCUCUCUCUUUGAAUGUUUGAAUGUACCUAUACAUGUAAUGUCUGCUUUAGUUGUCUCUGUCUCCUGUCACUGUCUCACUCUCAAUCUCUUUCUUUCUCUUUCUCUCUCUCUAUAUCUAUAUCGUACUUCACAGCUUGAGGGGUUUAAUAGUUGGGUUCUGGUAUGGGUUUAAACUUUAAUAUUUUUUUGAUGAUUUGUGUUUUCAAACGUUUUGGGUGUUCUGAAGUUUGGGAGUUCUGGUUUUUAACAGGGAAGAGGGAGAAAAGGGGAAUCCAAAGGACAGGACUCCGUUCCAGGUUUGUUUUUGAUUAAUGGGAUUUCGAUUUUUGCUUUGUUUUUGGGAGGUUUUGGAGUUUGAGUGGUGAGGGGUUUGAGUUUUGGUUUAAUUUUUUUUCUUUUGGUUUUGAUUAGGGACACCGUCAGAUCCUCCAUCAGGGGUUCCAUUGCCUGAUAAGAAGACAUUGGAGUUGAUUCUUGAUAAACUUCAAAAGUGAGUGUAGAACCUUUGUUUUAUUUUUGUUUUCUCUCCCUCUCUGUCUCUUUUUUUCCUCAACUUGAUGUUGCUAAUUCUGAGUUGGGUAUGACUUGUUGCAGGAGAGAUACUUAUGGUGUAUAUGCAGAACCGGCUGAUCCUGAAGAGGUAAGCGGAAUUUACUUCAGAAGUGUUGACAGCUUGUUCUUACUAGGGAUCCUGGCUUUUGGAGUUUAAUUUUGUUUGUCUUAGUAAGGUUUUGAUUGAUUUUGCAGCUUCCUGAUUACCAUGAUGUGAUUGAGCAUCCAAUGGACUUUGCCACGGUGAGGAAGAAGUUGGGAAAUGGGUCUUAUUCUACACUGGAACAAUUUGAGGUAUGUGUUUAUGGUUCAAACAGGCUAGAUGAUGUAGCUGAAGUUCACUUGGGAUGUGGGGUAAUUCCAAAGUGUGUUUCAGAUUUUGCCGGUUUAAUUCUUAUGGUGGUUAGUUAGCGUAAUUCCGGUUUUCCUUUAACUUGCAUCCAUGCUUUGUCAGUAGGUGUUACUUUCUCCUAGUUUCUACUCUUUCAGCAUGUUCGCUUGGCCAUUCCCCUCUAUUCACAAGAAAUAUUUGUUCCUUCCUUUGGUUGCCAAAUGGCCUAAGGAAUAGCCGUUCCCCCUGCAAUCUCUAUUCUCCAUAAUCAAAGAUUAGUUAUUCCCAAUCCCAAUGGUAUUUGUUAUUUCAUGUAUGGGGGAAUAGCUUCUAAAAUUAGUAACGCCACUGACAAAUGAAAUGAAAAAAAAUUUAAGUUUUUAAUUAUAUAUUAUAAAAAAUUAAUAUUUUAAAUUUAAAAAUUAAUUAAAAUUAUUAAUAUUUUAAUAAUAAUAUUUAAAUUAUAAAUAAAAUAUUAAUAAUUUAAAAUGUUAAUGAUUAAAUCAAAAAUAAAAUAUUAAUAUUUUAAAAUGCUAAUAUUUAAAUAAUCAAUUAUUAAUAUUUUAAAUAAAUUAUAAAUUAUUAAUAUUUAAAAAAUAAAAUAAAAUAAAAAUAGAUAAUCAUAUAUUAUAAUAAAGGGUAUUUUUAUUUUUAUCAUUUGUUCCUUUGUUACUCCAAAAUUAUUUUUACCAACUAAACAUUCAAUAAGUCCUUAUAACAAUUUUUAUCUUAUUCCAUUCUCUCAACCAAACUACAUAAUAACAUUCUCAUUCUAUUCUUAACUUAUUUUAUUUUCAUAGAAUACCUAUUCUAUUCCAUUUCAUUCUAUUACGCGAACCAAACGUGCUUUUUUUGUUGCCUUCUUGUGUAAAUGAUAAUAUAGGGACCAAGUAUGAAUUGGAUGCAGUAGGUAUUGUUUACUGAGCUGGGAAAUGGAGUCUCUUCAAUUUCAACUCUAGUAUGUUUUAAUCUUUGUUAGUGUUAUUGGAAAAAAUAAGUUAGCAUCACAUCCCCCACAAAAUAUAUACUUGGUCUAGAGAUAUGUCAUUAAUGUGCGACAAAUUUGUGAAAGUGAAUUUGCGUAGAAGUGUGGAUUUUCGUUGUAGUUAAUGUUUAGUUCUGUUGGUUGAAUAGAGUGCAUUCAAUAUUCAUAUGAUACUAGUGCAUUUUCCUGUCUCAGUUUUGCAACUUUGGGUUAUGUUUUAUAAGUUUUGGCUAAGAAAUGUUCUGGAUUACUAUUAAACAAUGCAAGAUGCAUAAAAUUGGAACUUGCAAAUUGUUGUGAUAAGGUCAAAAGUUUGGUUGACAUGGCUCAAGUGUUGAAUGUGGCAUUGUUGGUGUAUUGUGCUGUAGAGUUGCUAAUAUUAAUGGAGAAUAAAUCUUAUUGGUCGUUUUUGAGCUGACAACCCUCCUGUCAAAAAGUAUUGUUCUAGGAGGAAAACAUGGUUUGUCCUGCAUUGGCUUAUAAAGCUGGUUUUUCUUGAAUGCAGAGUGAUGUCUUCUUAAUAUCCUCUAAUGCAAUGCAAUAUAAUGCACCAGAUACUAUAUACCAUAAACAGGUAUAAUGUUUUUUCCUCCUCUUUCUUGUGUUUAAACAUUUUACUUCUUUGAGUAUCUUCUUGGUUUCCUUUAUCCAACUAUCCAGUUAUUUUUAUGCAGGCACGUUCCAUUCAAGAGCUGGCAAAGAAAAAAUUGGAGAAGUUAAGGAUGGAUGUACAGCGGUAUGAGAAAGACAGCAAGAUAGAACAGAAAACAAAAUCUAACUUCAUAGCAAAGAAACAAACAAAAAAACCUUCCUACUGUGCAACACAGGAACCUGUUGGUUCUGAUUUCUCUUCAGGGGCCACUCUUGCCACUGCUGGAGAUAUCCAGAACUCUUCCAUCACUAUUCAAGCUAAUGCUUGUGAGAGGCCUAGCCAUACUGAUGCGCCUGUAGAGGGUAACUACUCCCUGGCUGAUUAUAAUUUAGAGAAGACUGAAGAACUAUCAUCAGGUAUUAAGUCCCUUUUACAACCCAUUUUUCUAUUUUUGGGGAGUGGCUUUUGAGGAUUAUGCAGCUAUUUCCCAUUUUUUGAAUCUAUAUGUGAAGCCAGUAUGCUUUGGCAUGUGUUAUUAUUCUUCACUCUCUUGGGCUGGAACAAUUCAGGGAUUUCUAAAUGUUCAGAAGAGCCUUCUAUGUAUGAGAUGGUUUUGUUCUAGCUCUUUAAUUAUUCUUCUGUGUCUUAGGGAAGGGUCUCCUUUCAAAAUUUGGGAAGAAGUCAUUUGCACUUGAUGAUAAUCGUCGUGCGACAUACAACAUAUCCACUCAACCGGUGGCCAGAUCAGAGUCAAUAUUUACAACCUUUGAGGCUGAAAUCAAGCAGCUGCUUGUUGUACGUAACAAGCAAAGCAAAUUAAUUUAUCUUCUUCAACUAUCAGCUUUGUACUCACUUGUGUUUAUUUUCUGAAUCAGGUUGGGCUACAAGCAGAAUUUUCAUAUGCUAGGAGUCUGGCUCGCUUUGCUGCAACUCUUGGACCUGUUGCAUGGAAAGUUGCUUCCCGCAGGAUUGAGCAAGCAUUGCCUAUGGGCUUUAAGUUUGGUCGUGGGUGGGUUGGAGAAUAUGAGCCACUUCCAACACCAGUAUUAAUGCUUGAGAAUCAUGCUCCAAAGGAAUCCGCCCCGUUGCGUGCUGCUGAUGCUCGAAAGGAUGAUGUAACUUAUAAGACCCCGGUUCCUUCUACCAGUGUUCGAAAGGAUGAUGUAACUUAUAAGACCCUUGUUCCUGCUAAGCCACAUCCUCUCAAUGUCCCUGCUUCAGAAGAGAAAUCAUCUUCAUUUCGUCCUGGUGGGCCAACGUCAGAAGGAAGGCCAUCUUUGUUUGCUUCUACUGGGCCAAGGCCUGGUAAGCCUGUUAAUACUAUUCAUAAGCUGCAAAAUUUGCCUCCCAGGAAAUUUUCUGAGCCUGAGAACAAGGUCUCAAAGCAAGUUGAGUUGAACUUGCCACCUACUGGGAACCAAAAUAAUGCUGAUCUUAUCACUGAGAAGAAGAGUUCAAAUAAAUCAGAGACAGCAGCUUUGAAGUCAAGAGAGAUGGUUUCAAGGAACAUGAGUCUUGCACAGGCUGUAUCUUCAAAGCAGAUUGAAAAUAAUGUAGCUGUUGAUGGAGAUUUGCCUAAUGGAAAAGCCGCAAGUAAUUGUUUUAACAAUCGAGCAAUAAAUCUAUCUUCUGAUGGUAUUCCUACCCAAAUGGCGAAAGCAGCUGCCUACUAUUCCCAUGGACAGGAGCAGGGCCUCAAUGACCCAGUUCAAUUGAUGAGGAUUUUGGCAGAAAAGGCCCAAAAGCAACAAAAUUCUUCAAAUCAGUCCCCAACUGAUACUCCACCAGCUAUGCCAUCUGUUCCAUCUAUACGAAGAGAUGAUUCGAGCAGUGCUGCUGCUGUUGCUGCUCGUGCCUGGAUGUCUGUAGGAGCCGGAGCCUUCAAGCAAGCAACUGAAAAUUCCAGCACUUCGAAAGGCCAGAUAUCUGCUGAGUCAUUAUACAACCCAGCUAGGGAAUUUCAUCUGCAAGGUUCACGAGUUCAAGGGGAGUUUCCUCUUUCUGCAGGGAUGCAAUUUCAGCCACAGAUUGAGAAGAACAGUUUCCCGCUUCAUACUUUUGCACCCCAACCUGUUCGCUUGAUGAAUGAAGCUCAGUUCCAAAACCGACCUAUGGUUUUCCCUCAACUAGUGGCAACCGACUUGUCUAGGUUCCAAGUGCAGUCCCCUUGGCAAGGUUUUAGUCCGCGAACACAGACAAGGCAGAAGCAGGAUACGCUUCCUCCUGACUUGAAUAUUGGAUUCCAGUCUCCAGGGUCUCCAGUGAAACAGUCGUCAGGCGUUCUGGUUGAUUCUCAGCAGCCAGAUCUGGCUCUGCAGCUCUGAGUGUGAGGUAGACUUCCUGAAAAAUCGAUUGAGAAGGGCUCAGAGGUGGUUAGAUGGUGCUCUACCCUGUCUCAAGGAGGUGGAAAAUUUUGUCCCCUGCCAUGAACGUGGAUGGAAUUGCCAAUUCUUCCAUUAUUUUUAGAUGGUGCUCUGGCAAACUCGAUGAUAGAUUUCGGUCCCAGUCUUGGAUUAGAGUUAAAGAUGGCAGAUUCAGCCCUUAAACCGUCUUACCUAUAUAGUAUGAACUCCUUUUUUCUAUCAGAUGAGAAGGGAGAAUCAAGAAGAACAGGGGCCAAUAAUCAUGAAAUGUAGACAUUUGUUUAAGAUCUCCUUUUCCUAACAAGCAUUUCUGACUCCAAGCAUUUAUAUGGUACCUGAGGGAGCUAAAAUCAUGAGAGUUUUCAGCAGAAGCAUGAUUGUUUUUAUGAAUUUAUUGUCGAUUGAUUCGAUGUUCUUCAUCAGAUGGAUUACAUAUGUAAACAUGGUUCAUGCUUGUACAUUAGUAACAGGUGGAUGAGAAGUAGCUACUCAAAUUUUUAGUUUGUCUUUGUUGCCAUUCAUGUUAUUUGCAUUGAUAUAUCUUCCUGCCUUUCUGUGAACAUGCAGAGAUGGAUUUGCAGUUAAAAGAGGGAAUUGCCAUUCAUCUGUAUUAUGAAUCAUGGAAUCUUACAUGGUACCUAACUUAAAAGCUUUAUUGAAAUAUAGCUAUUAUGCUUUUACAAAUUGGAAAUGGCCUGCCUAGACAAAGUGGGAAUGACCCUUUCAUCAAGAAUCUCCAAUUUUUUUUUUACAAUCCACAGAGGGAGAUUCAAACCCGGUUCUUUGAAUUACACAAAAAUACAUACACUUACUAUCGAUCUCAGACCAAGAUCAGUGGGAGAUGCAUACACUUACCAUCAAUCCCAGAUCGGGAUCAAUGGUAUAGGUUUGAUUCGAAACCCCGAAACUCAUGCCGUUGAAGCUCGUUUCAUGGAAAGAAUGGUCAAGAAAUUCCGGUGGCUUUGCUUUGGCUUGUUCAUAGACAUCAUCUUCCUCCCAGGUUUCUUCUGAUGACUCCUAAGCACACAAACAUCUCCCUGGCAGAUAUAUCUUUUAGAUUCUGAGGAGGAUUCUGUGAAACAGCUGAAGAUGUUUGGGAGCAACGCCAUGGUAUAAUCGAUCAAUGCUCCCAAAAAAGACUGCAAUAUUGUUUAAAAGAUUGUUUCCAUGAAUUUCUCUACCUGCUUAUAACGGGUGGAUGGCCAUUGCAGUUGGGUUUUUAGGCAAUUAGUCAAUGUCGGCGGGCAAUGACCAUUUAAUUUUCAGUUCAAUAUAAGGCACACGUUUAUAUGGUUUAAACCAUUUAUUUUUUUCAAACAACAAAACGUGUUGGACCAAAUAUGUUAUUUUCUAGCAAUUAAUUCCUUUUUUUAUUAAUUUUUUGUGAUUAUUUCUUCUCUAUGGUCUUUGAUCUUAGAGUUUGGUUAAUUGAUGGGCCGGGUUUUGGAACGAGGUCGUUUUUUUUUAUUUAUAUGUAAUGUAUUGUCUGCGUAUAAUAUUUAUGUAUUAUCACUAAAUAAAAUAUUAUUGUUUAUUUUAAUGAUAAUAAUUCGUGUAUUUUUUAUUUUGUUCGAGAAAAUUUGGUAAACUCAUACUAAAAAAAAUAUUAACAAAAAAAAGAAUGGCACAUGGUAGACCAUGGUAUGUUUGAAUGGGAAAGAGGGUGUGGGCUAUUAUUUGACUCUUUUAUUUAAAUAAAAGAUUCAAAAUUAGUUUAAAGAAGGGGAAAAUAAUUAAAAAAAGGGAAAGAACACAAUUGAAUUUCUUUUUUUAUAUAUUUAUAUAUAAAUAUAACAUUAUAAUAAAUGCAAGUUGUAUUUAGUUUUUUUUUUAAUGAAAAAUCCAUGAAGAGAUAAGAUUACAAUUCAUCAUUCAUAAGAUCAAAACUCACUCUUUGUUUUUUCCAAAGAAAAUUUCCGUUUGGUUUUGACCAAUGCUAUGAGAAAUUACCUAGGAAGGCUGAAUGUACUUAAAAAAUGCUAUAAGUCAAGUAUGAUGGGAGUUUGUACUACACGUUUGAUUAAUUAAUAAAUUUUAUUUUCAAAAAAUAAAAAAAAAGCUACAAGUCAAGUAUGAGUUUAGAUUUCUUAUCAUAGAUAAACACCCAAAUUUUCACAAGCCCUUUUCUUUCAUUAUCACAAAAAUGUCCCAAAAAGCAUAGCAACAUAUACAUAGGUGGAAUUGAAGGUGGUGACAGGGAAUGGCGAUUGAUCGUCGUCUCUUAAUUUUUAUUUUUUUAUUAUUAUAUAUGAAAUUUAAUAUAUAUAAUAUAAUUAUUUUUAUAAUUAUGUUUUAUAUAAAAUUUUAAAUUUAUCAUGUGUUGGUACAUAUAUAUAUAUAUAUACUCGAACCAGCAAUGAAACAAAUAAGAGCCAAGCAAACAACCAGAGGAUAAAGGCUGUAAAAAGAGAGGAAAAGAAAAAAGCAAGAGAGGGGCAAAAUGGCAAAUGAAAUGAAAUGGAAGCCGCCUAUUAGGGUCUACCAUUGAAUUUUACCUCGAAAUUGUUAAAACACUGCUUUGCCAAGGCCACGCUUUAUGGGGUCUCACUCCAAACCCACCCUUCCAUCCAGGGCUUAGG